RNAcentral lists this long non-coding RNA (56757 nucleotides) under Glycine max (soybean). Its description in RNAcentral is "long non-coding RNA (GMAX_LNC003544)". Lineage: Eukaryota; Viridiplantae; Streptophyta; Magnoliopsida; Fabales; Fabaceae. The record is from RNAcentral.
AAAGACAAACCUAAAUGGGCAUGAUGAAGAAGCAAAAUUCGGAUUUUUUCAUCAUAAACCAAUAUUCAAGAAACAUAUUCCAAUUCCAGUAUAUAAACCUGUACCAAAGCCAUUUCCAGUGUAUAAACCUAUACCAAAGCCAGUUCCAGUUCCAGUGUACAAGCCUAUUCCAAAGCCAGUGUAUAAGCCUAUUCCAAAGCCAGUUCCAGUGUACAAGCCUAUACCAAAGCCAGUUCCAGUUCCAGUGUAUAAGCCUAUUCCAAAGCCAGUGUACAAGCCUAUUCCGAAGCCAGUGUAUAAGCCUAUUCCAAAGCCAGUUCCAGUGUACAAGCCUAUACCAAAGCCAGUUCCAGUUCCAGUGUAUAAGCCUAUUCCAAAGCCAGUGUACAAGCCUAUUCCGAAGCCAGUGUAUAAGCCUAUUCCAAAGCCAGUUCCAGUGUAUAAGCCUAUUCCAAAGCCAGUUCCAGUGUAUAAGCCUAUUCCAAAACCAGUGUACAAGCCUAUUCCAAAGCCAGUUCCCGUGUAUAAGCCUAUACCAAAGCCAGUUCCCAUUUAUAAGCCAAUUCCCAUUUUUAAGCCAAUACCGAAACCAGUUCCCAUUUAUAAGCCAAUUCCCAUUUUUAAGCCAGUACCGAAACCAGUUCCCAUUUAUAAGCCAAUUCCAAUUUUUAAGCCAGUACCAACACCAAUUCCUUUUUUUAAGCCUAUACCAAAGCCUGUUCCUAUUGUUAAACCUAUUCCUAUUCCAGUUUUUAAACCCAUACCUAAACCAUUUCCAAUUGUUAAACCUAUCCCUUAAGCCAAAGUCAUUUUUUAAGCCAGAGACUUUCUUCAGAAAACCUAUUCCUAAACUUCACCCAAAUCUGAUAAAGCACGGUCUUCUACAUUUUCCAAUUCACAAUACAAUUCCUACAAUUUCAACUCCAUAAGAUGAUUUGGCCGUGUCCUAUAAAAUUAUUGUACUUAGAACGUUAUCCCAUUCUAUUUCCAAUAUAGCUACGUUUGUUCUAAAACAUCAACGGGGUUUCUGUAGAAAUCCUAUCGUACUCUUGUGCAUUGUAUUAGAAUAUAUGCAGUUCAUUUGCCUCAAUAAUCUUCUCAGCAUUGCCGUUGUAAAUUGAUUUGUAUGUAUUAUUCCAAGAAUAGAACUAAUUCUCUAUUUUUGGUUUAAAUAAUAUUUGUAUUUCCUUUCAAUAUUUUGUAUUACUCCAUUUUCAGCAGGGCUCCACGUACAAAACUAACCCUAAACUAACCUUGAUUAAGGAAUUAAAAGAAAACAAUGUGUAAAUCAUAGAAAAACACAAAAAGAAAAAAUUUGGGAAACGUAAUUUGUAGUCUUCUAAUAAUUUUUUUAUAUUCUUAAAUAGUCCUUAAUUAGUAUUCUUAGGACACUUGUUAACAUUUGUAAAAAAAAAAAAUUAACUUGCAAAAGUUUUGAUGUUUAAAAAGAAAAAAAUGACCUCCUGGAAGUGAUCCAUAUUAACUUCUUAUUACAAGUUACACAGCAUAAACUAAUAUAUGUACGAAUUGAUGGAAAUCGACAAUCGUGAUGUUUGUGAUAAUGUUUUAAAUUUUCAUUUUAACAUUUAGCACCGUCUAUUUUAUGUACAGAAAUGUGGACUCAAUUUCUGAUUUCAGCUUUCACCAUUUCGUUUGUUUUAUUUGUGAACGAUAUGUUGAAAGAGAAAGUAAAAGUAUCCCACCAACUUACCCUAGUUCUUAGUAAUCAUUGGUUACGUAAUGCAGGAUGAAAUCUGCUCUCAUACAUGUGUUGAUCAACUUUAACGAAAUUAAACUAUAUAUAUCUCGAGUAUGUAAAUGAAUGGCAAUCGUAAUAAUUUGUAAUAUAUUUGAAUACACAAGAUUUAUUUUAUUUAACAAUCAUGCAUAUAUCUCUUUUUUUAAAGGCAAAACCAUGAAUUAUUAUAAAUAAAAGGCCACAAUGUGUGACUCAAAACAGAUUGCACGACAAAGAUAAGGAAAGCCAAAAAAGUCCUAACAGACCAUCUGCAGUCCAUAGGAUAUGGACUAUUACACCAAUUGGCAAAAGCAACACCACUAGCAAAAGGAUUCUUAUAUCUAAUCCAUGUCCACGAGAUUCCCUAAAUAUGCAACAGAACUGAAGAGAAAUGAGCAGCCUGAUUUUGAAAAAUGACCUUUUUCUUAGCCAAAUGCAUUCUGUUAAUUUAAACACUAUCAAUAUUUUUUAUUUCUUUUUUCUCAUCACAUUAUAAAUCCUAUUAAGUCUAUAUUUUUUUUUGCUCUCAAGGUGUUCAAUGGGUGAUAGGGAUACUGCUCGUCAUGUACCAUUUUUCUUCCACCAAAUAGAAAUCCAGGCUGCACGUAAUGUUGCUGAAGAUCAUAAUGCUGCACCAUAGCAAACACCCAACCACUUAUAAAUUGCAUUACAUAAUUGAUAGAAAAUUUACAACUUAAAAAUAAAUGAGAGAUCGUUUCACCACCUGAAUCCACGAUCCCCCCCCGCAUCAAUGCAUCACGGGUUGGCAAACGUCCAAGGAGCAGCCUUCCAGGAAAAAACCAGAAUUUGAGGGAGAUGAAGUGAUGAUGGAUCUAAUUAAGACCCGAGGUGAGUGAGGAAAAGUUAUUUUGAAAAUAAUUUUAAUGCAUAAAAAUGAGAAAGGGGUUCAAACAUAUAAAAAGGUGUAAAAUAUAAAAUUUUAAGAUAAAUAUGUAAGACUUUAUUAAAAUAAGUAUGUAUAUUUAUUUAUCAUCAUAUGAAAAAUAUGUCAAAGAGUUGAAAUACAUAAAAUUAAGAGUGCAAAAUAUAAUUUUAAAAAAAUAAUGUGAAUUUAUUAAAAUGAGAGAGUAAAUUUGCCCAUCCUCAAUCAAACAUAGUACGCCAGUGGGGACAUAUAGACUUCCAAAAUGUGUUGAGCAAAUUAUCUAGAUUGUGUAAAUCGGGACCAGGAGAGGAGCAGAAGACUUUAUAAACAGAAGCUACUAGGAAAAAAAGGAGAACUCAUGCCUCCCCAUUUCCAUGAUGAAAUCUCGAGAAUCCUAUGUAAUAAGUUUUUAUUAUUAUAAGUUGCGAUUAAUUCCUUAUUAGUGGUAUGUAUGUUUUAGACUUGGAAAGUCAUCUUUGACUAAAGUGCUUCUUCAGUUUUGGAGUUGAAAGAUCAAAUAUUCAAUGACAUCAAUGGGUGAUAAUGACUACUAAAUGCAUUCAUGAUGGUAUAAUAUCUAUAUAUAGCACAUGUGUUUGAUCCCUGAACCCAUAUCUUUCAUUUCGUUUGAUAUACCAUCUACAAAGAGAGUGAGAGUUUGAAAGAACUAAAACAAAGUAGCUCUUUCAUGACAAUGAUUGAAGGUAUAUUUUGAUUUUGUUUUCUACAUUUCUUAUUGACUUAUGUUUAGUUUUGUUGUUUGUAAUAUCACAGGUUUGUUAUUUUAGUCUUUCAGUUGGUAUCAGAGUCUCAGUUACCUCUGCCAUGUUCAUUUUUGAUUUUCAGUAUUGUUGGUGUUUAGAGCCUUGUUUGUUACAAAUAAGAUUAGAAAUAAUCUUUAUUUUAAUUGAUUUCUUUAUUUUUUGGGUUUUGAAUCGUGUAAAACGGUACCUAAAUGAGUGAAAAUCGAUCGGGUCUGUAUGUGGGUUGAUUGACCUUCUAGAGGUUGAAGACGAUGAACAAUUAUUUUCUAUUCGCUUAAAAAAAGAAGGGUAAACAGACCAUGUCGGCACUGUCUGGGUCUAGAACUAGUGACCUUUAGUUUAAGGGAUGUCAUGUGAGUCAUUGGGCCGUUUAAGGUUCUUUCCUAUUUAUUCAUUUCCCGUAUCUUAUAUGCUUAUACGAUUCUGUUUACUUUUGUAAUUUGUGCAGUUUUGAUUUGUUUUAUGCAUGAAUACAUUCUAGAAAUGUUUAUUUUGAGCAUAUAUAUAUAUAUAUAUAUAUAUAUAUAUAUAUAUAUAUAUAUAUAUAUAUAAUCAAAUGCAUAAUAUUAUAUUUCAAUUAUGCAAUUGUAUAUGAGAAUUUUAUUCAUCAUUGUAUUAUAUCUUGAUCUUGACGUGCUUUAAAUAAUUUAUUUUCACAUGAUUAAAUUUUAUGUCUAAGUGAUCUUUAUAAUUUUGAUUAACUAUGGAUUAGCCACAACAUCUAUAAUUUGAUUAAAAUUAUAUAUUGAGUUGUUUAAAGAUCAUAUAAGGAAUUAAGCAUAAUAUUAUGAUUAAUUGUACUUUAUAUAUUGAAUUUUAUCCCAUAGGAAUUUUUAUUAUAUUUGUAUGGUUAAUUUAGAUAAAAUAUCAUAUUAUUUUUCAUGGUUUACCCACAGGGAUCAUGAGGUGAUUUAUAAUUUGGUUGUUUUAUCAUAAAGUAAAUAUUUGCAAUAGAAAAUCGAAUUAUUUUCAUGUUGGACCCGUAAAGCUUGAACUUGAAUAUGUAAUUUGAUUAUUCUAUCAUAAAGUCUAAUUGUAUCUUAUUGGAUUAAAAAUUUAACCCACAAACAAUUUUUAUGUCAUAAGAUUCAAGUUUCUAGUAUGUUUACAUUGUAAAACUUACAAAUAAGAUUAAUAUGCCUCAAAUUUUGACGUAAGCCUUUGGAUUUUUGCAGCUUCUCAAAUUGUUGAUGUUUUUUAUAUUCAAUGUGAUGUUCCUCAACUCAAAGGAGAUAACUAUAAGAUAUGGAAGGAGAAAAUUCUUCUACAAUUAGGGUGGAUGGAUAUAGAUUAUGCUAUAAGGAAAGACAAAUCACUUGCAAUCACUAAUGAAAGUAGCCCAACUGUUGUUGCGCUAUAUGAGCAGUGAGAGUGAUCCAACUGGCUCAGUGUGAUGUUCAUUAAGACCAAAAUCUCGGCUAGGAUAUGUGGUUCUGUCGACUAGCAUAAAAAGGUCUGAGACUUGCUUAAGGCUAUUGAUGAUCAGUUCAUCACUCAGUUAAGGCUUUAGUAAGUACCCUUAUCAUGAAGUUCUCCUUUCUCUGGCUCACUAGUGUGAAAGAUGUGUGUGAGUAAAAAUGAAAAUGUGAAAUAUUUCAACUCAACUUAAGAAACUGGAGGUUGAUAUGUCAGAGUCCUUCCUGAUGCACUUCAUUCUAAACACCUUUCCAUUGGAAUAGGGGUCGUUUAAGAUUUUCUACAACACACAUAAGGACAAAUGGUCUAUUAAUGAAUUAAUGAUCUUGUGUGUUCAAGAAGAAAAAAAGCUUGUAAUGGAGAUGAGUGAGAGUGCAUUGCUGGCAACUGCUUGUGGGAAGGACAAAGCUACUAAGUAUCAAGCUAAUAAGAAGGGGAAUGGUAGAAUACCACCUCAAACUGAUAUUAAGAAGGUGACAAAGUGUUUCUUUUGUAAAAAGAAGGGACACAUGAAGAAGAAUUGCCUUAGAUUUCAAAAAUGACUUGAAAAGAAAGGUAAAUCAAUCUCAUUAGUAUGUUAUGAAUCUAAUAUGACUUGUGUUAAUAUUACGCAUGUGUUUGGUCCUUGAGCUCAUAUCUUUCAUUUUCGUCUGAUACACCAUCUACAGAGAAAGUGAAAGCUUGGAAGAACCCAAACAAAACAACUCUUUCAUGACAAUGACUGGAGGUAUAUUUUGAUUCUAUUUUCCGCCACUCCAAGAAAAAUCAUUAUUUCUGACAGAAUAUUUCCCAUGGAAAAUAUUCCUUCAAAAAUUUUUAUUUUACCACGAAAUUUACUGAAGGAAAAAUUUCCGUUGGAAAUGUUUAGAAAAUCGAUAGAUCUUAUUGACGGUCAAUUUUUUCGUCAAAAAAUUAAUAUUUUCGAAGGAUUAUUCCGAUGGAAUAGAGAUCCGUCAGAAACUAAAAAUUUGAUAACAAAGCACGAGAACCCUAGCUGUUUCAGUGUUUCAUUUUUUUGCUUUCUUCUCCCGCUCGUCCCCCAUUUGUGCCUUUCAUGAAGACCAACUAAGAAGCAUUUCAUUGUUGAUUUUCGUAUUUGGUUUGUAAUUUCAAUUUCGCAUUCUUCUCCCCCUGACCGUAAUUGUUGUUGGUUUUCCCUCUAUUGCAGUGACACUCGUCUGUGUCGAGGAAAAGUCACCUUCACGACCUCUAACGGUGUCGUUCCGACGUUCUGUGUCAAUUCACCUCUCACAGGUAUCAUUCGUGUGUCCGCUCUCGCAUUCUGUUUGGCUCAUUCGCGUGUUGCAUUCGCCUCUCACAAUAUGUGAUUAUUGCUUUUUUGAGUGAAAGAAACCUUCAAUUCUUCAAUUAAAAAUGAUAAUCCUCCACAAGGAAAACAAGAAUGACAAGUUCAUUAUGUUGAUAUGAAGAUUUAUGAAGUAGGGAUUAUAAAGUUGUAUUUUAAAGUUGACAAAUUGAAAAUGCUCGUAUGAUGUUUGAAGAAAAUCCAGACCCAAUUGUUGGUGGUUCUCAUCAUCUUCUGUGCUAUGGGUUUUGUUUUUUUCAUUAUACUGUAAUUGAUGUCUGUUUUAUAUGAUGUUUGUUGGUCACAUUGUGUCUACUGAUUGAGUAUAACUAUAGAAUGACUACAUUCUUGUUCUACUUUGGUCAUUUACCUCAUUUUCUUUGUCUGCAUCAUUGUUGGAUAAUAUUAGACCCACUUACCUUGUGUCUACCUCUGAAUGUGUCAAUAAGUAACACCUUAUUUUCUCUCCAACUAUUCAUUAUUUUGUUUUCCAUUUGAAAUUUUUUUGGUGGCCAAUUGAAUUAAGGUCCUGGACUGGUUUUUGGAAAUCCGCCCAAACAACACAAAUACUUCAUUAAUAUUCUUUAUUUGUUUUUAUCUCACUUAGCUUUAUAAUAUCAGUGACAUUAGCAAUAAUAUUAAUAGCUUAUUUCUCCUCUCUUUCUACUUCUCGAUGGCUAUUUAUUCCCCUUACGUGUGUAAGGAUUUCUCCAUAAACAAAAUUGCAUUUGCUCGUGAACAGACAAAAUCACAAAAUCUGAGCAAUUGUAUUCAACUUUUUUGCCAGGCUAAGCUAUGUCCUAGUGAUGUUUGAUAAAUAUAGCAAGAGCAAGUGGUUCUGAAAGGAUGAAACAAAAAUAUUCUUGUAAACCAAACAAAAACUUAGAAGAUGUGUUGAAUACUUAUCAAAACCUAUCAAUAACAUAGCAAACUGACUCAAAAGAUAGAUUUUAUUUAGUGGCCACAAAUGUGAGAAACCAACAUUUAAAGGAUUUACCGUAUGGUUCGAUGAGUUACGUUAAAGAAUGACACACAUACUUUGUCAAUGGGUACAAAUUCCAUACCCAAGCAUGGACUUCUGGGAAGCAAACAAUAAAUAGUGGGGUUCACGUAAAAGGCCUUAUAGAAGAAGACACAUAUGAUUUUUAUGGGGUCAUUCAACAUAUAUAUGAGUUAGAGUAUAAUACUACGAGCUAUCCUAAGCGAGUAGUAUUAUUUUAUCGUCAUUGGUUUGAUCCAACGAGUAGAGGAACAAGAGUUGAUCCUAAAUAUGGCACGGUAGAAAUUCGAAUGGAUAGAAGUUAUAAUUUGUUUGACCCAUUCAUUAGUGCACAUAGUGUAAGGCAAGUGUAUUAUAUGCCAUAUCCAACAACAAGAAGGGACAAGCGUGGUUGGUGUGUUGAUUAAAACAAAGCAAAGGGGUUACAUAGAAUCAAAUCAUGUACAAGAUGAUGUGCCUUACCAAGUUGAGGAAAUGUCACAUGUCAACAAAGUCAUUGAAGUUGAAAGUAUUUCUGGAUUGCAAGAUUUAAGAGGUGGUGUUGAAGAAGUAGACAUUCCUAAUUUGUUGACAAAUGAAGGGGAAUCAGAAGACAAUGAAGGAGAAUUAGAAGAUGACUUUGAAGUUUAUAAUUCUGAAGAGGAUUAGACAUUGAUGUUUGUUAGUCAGUUAUAAUAUUUGUUAUUAGUGACAUGUUUGUUUUCUUCUAAUACUUCAAAACUUUGUUGGUGUAUUUUAUUUUUGUUGUGAUAUGAAAGUUUGUUAGUUAUCUAAUUUUCAUUUACCCCAAUAUUCUGUUUGAGUGUUUAUGUUAUUAUAUUAUUUUUGUAUAUAUAGAUAUGUCAUCAGGUGGUGCUGACCCUCCCCGACCCCCGUCACAUCACUCCAGUGGGAAAAGGACAACUGCGAAGAAAAGAUGAUAUGUGGUUAGACUAUUACUGCGUCGAGGUAGUCUACUAUCAUCUACCACAUCCCCAUCUUCUGUGUCUAUGCCAGUUAGGCCUCCUGAUGUUGCACCUACACCAUCUCCACCUCCGACUGAAGCUAGACAAUCUCCAUCUGAUGUUAAUGCACGUGGACUGUCCCCGAUACUUGCAUUCACACCAUUUCCAUCAUUGGUGGAAGCACGUGGACCAUCCUCGGUACUUACAUCCACACCUUCCCCAUCCCCAUUUGUAGCCAACAUGCCUACGGAUGAAGAUGCUACAAAUUUGGUGAUGGAAGACCCCCCCCCCCUUAAUGAUCGCCCUACGGUUACGCUAACCAAUGGAGCGUAAGUAUUACAAAAUUUAUAUAAUUAUCAUUAUAUAUGAUAGAUCAUAUGAUCUUUUACUAUUUUGAUUAAUUAUUUUUUAUAUUUAGGUUUCAUCCAUCUAAGGUUGCGGCAAAGACUGUCACUUUGUCCAUUAGGCAACAAUUUGGUCAGCCUUGGCCUACAUGGGGAGCGAUUCCAAAAGAUCAUUAGGAACUUUUUCCCAAUGUUUUAAGGUAAAUUAUUCUUGUGUUAAUGAAUUAGUUCAAAGGUUGAAAUGUAUAGUAAUGUUAUUUUUUUAUUUUAUCUGAAAUUGUGAAAUUCAUAAUUUUCUAAUUGUGUACCAUUUUAUAACUUUGUUAUACUUUAGAGAAAAUUGGUCUGGAGACUUGAGGAAGAGAAUGAAAUCAAAAUAGCUUUUAACUCGAAAGCCUCUCAUAGACUUUCUAAGGUGUUUAGGGAUGCCCGAAAUGAAAAUAUAAGGCCAUAUUGGAUUGGAGAUCAUGUUUGGAAUGAUCUGUUAUCACAUUGGAAUGCACCUGAGUAUCGUUCCAAGUGCGCACAAGAAAAAAAAGGCAUCUGAAAAGGUGGGGGUAUGCACACAGGUGAUUCUAUCAGCUUGCAGGAUCACGCCAUUCGAUUGGUAUACACAUUAAAAUAAUAAUACAUAGUUGUUUAUACUUUUUUAAUUUAUCACUUAAUGUUUAUUUUAUAAUGUUUGUUAAUAGUCAAAGGAGCUUGGUUGAUCUGUAUAUGUAAAUGAGGUCUUUCAACAAACUUAUUUACGAAAGGAUACUGGUUAAUUUGUCUAUGUUAGAUCUAGACAAACACAUGUGAGACCAUUAUCUUGCAUCUUUUUUUAUUCUUUAAAAUGUUUAUUAUAUUUAUGAAGUAAUAUCUCUUUAUGAAUUACAGGAAGAAAUAAUAAUUGUUUAUGAAUUACAGGAAGAAUUUGAGGCUAGACUAUCUCAAGCUAGGUCUGAUGCUGCAUCAAGUGUUGGUGAAUCACAACUCACUCCUUUAGACCCUGUUGAAGAACAAAGACUUAGGAGUCGAUGUUGGGUUGUGACUGUGGGAUCAAAGCGUAAAGGACGCCUUUAUGGUGCUGGAGACCUUGUUCAUACUUACAAAUGUGGAAAUGACAUCUUCAUGCAGCAUACACAAGGAUCUUCCUAAAGAUGCUGCAGAGAUUAACUGACUUAGGGAGGAGCUGCGUCAAUCAAAGAAGAUGUGUGUUUUUCAAUCAGUUGUCCUUCAGUUCUUACCUCCUGAAGUAUGGAACAUUAUUCAUCAACAACAACAACCUCACCAGCAGCAUCAGGAUCAACACCAACACCAUGUAGAUGACCAGCAAACAGAUGACCAACACGAACAUGAUGACUAACAGAGACACUCUCCUGAUGACUACAUUGAUAACUGACUAAGCAACACAAUUACUAUUGACAAUUGACAUUGAAGUCUUGCAUUGUUUAUCUUUUACAUUUGUUUUCAAUUUAACUUAAUGAUUUAUUUGUUUAUGUUUUGGAUUUAUCAAUUUUAUUAUUUCUUAAUUAUAAGUAUGUAUUAAAUUCAAAUUUUUACGAUAAAUAAUAAAAUUCAUAACAUAACUGCCAAAUUGUCAAUCAUAAAUGAUUAAAAAAACAAUUGAAAUAAUAAAUUAUUUAUAAAAUUAAAUUUUCCAAAGGAUUUUCCAUAAAAAAUUUACGACAAAAAAAUCCGUAAGAAAUAAUUCAUGGGAAAUUUCCGAUGGAAAAAUCUAUCGGAAAAUCCAUCGGAAAUUUCUGAUGGAAAAAUCUAUCGAAAAAUUCGUCGGAAAUUUCCGAUAGAAAAGAAAAUCCGUCGGAAAUAAUCCGUGGGAAAACUCCGAUGGACAUUUUCUGUUGGAAAUUUUCCAUGGACUUUUUUCGACGGAUUUUUUGUCGGAAAUUUCCGAUGGAUAACAAAAAAUCCGUCGGUUAAAAUUUCCUACGACCAUUUUUCCGACGGAUUUUUGUUAGUCGGAAAUUUACAGUUAGUGACGGGUUUUUAACGUUUCCAACAAAUUUUGGUUGUGGGAAAAAUGUUUUUUUUUGUAGUGCACAUUUGGUACCGACCUAUGUUUUGUUUUGUUGUUUGUAACAUCAUAGAUUUGUUAUUUUAGUGUUACAUCUUGAACAAGGUGAACAUUAGAUAUAAGUAAUUCCAACUGGUCAAGUAAUUAAUACAUUUAUCAUUUAUUUCUAAUUAGUUUUUUUUAAAAGAAAAGCAAAUGAAAUAUGUAUUUGAUGUUUUUGUGACAUGAGAUAUAUUAAAUACUUUCCAAAUAUUUCAUGUGAAAAGUACUUCAUGAUACAAAUUCAUUGGACGUAUUUAACAAACAAAAAUUGUAACACAAGUGCAUGCUUGAUUUUCAUCAAAUUUGUUUUUCUUUUACUAUUUUCAUUUAAUUUUUGUCUAAUAAAAUUAUAAAAACAUGUGGCUUCAUAAUAAAUUCAUUGGAGAUCUUUUUAUACUAAUCCAUUCAUAAAUUCGUCUAAUUAAUAUGUAUAUAUAAGUUCACAAUUACAAGAAUGAAGUUGUCAAUAGCACCAAAAAUAGAGAAUUAGUUUGGAACCAUUAUCAAAAUGCUAGAUAUGAAUAUGACACAUGUACAUGCUAAAUAGGGACAAGAUUGCCAUCGCUAAAAAGAUCAGGGUUAUAAGAAAAGAAUUGGUAGUCACCUUAAGCAUGGGGUUGAGGAAAACAUUGUUCAAAUUUUGGAAGCCAUAUAAGAAAGUGAUAGGUUGGUCAAUGUUGGUGUAUUUGAUCUUUUAUUCCUUAUGAUGGAGGAGGCUUUGCUACCAUUAAAGAAAUUAAUUAUCUUCAGUAGAUUCAAGGCUUUGUGAAAGCUUAUGGUGAGAUUUUGAUUGCAACUAAUAAUUGGGGUUUUAAACAUGUUGAAAUGAAUAUCAUGGGGGAUCAUUAGUAUUUGAUCAGAAGGUUUUUUUUUUCUAUCAAUAAAGAAAAUUUGAACUUACACAACUAAAAAAGUGUUAUUUACGAUGAUUCUAAGGGAAUUUUUUAUGACAGUUUUUAACCAUCGUUGAAGCCACCAUCGUGAAAAGUCUUGACAUUCCACAACGGCUUUCAAAGGUACAAUUUCUAAGACGGUUUUGUCUUAAAACUGUCUUAAAAUGUUUUUUUAAUUAAAAAAAUUUUAGAAUUCUAAAACCAUUUUAGAAUGUCUUUUUUAAAAAAAAUAAAAAAUUGAAGAUUCAAAUACGAUUUUUUUCAAAAACUAUCUUAGAGAGUCUACUUUCUAAGACUGUUUUUCAAAGAAACGUCUUAGAAUGUCUUUUUUUUUUAAAAUAAUAAAAAAAAAAUUGACGAAAUUGAGUACAGGUACCCAAACAUAUUUGCACAUACAUUCAUGCUUAUUUAAAUUGACUACAACCAUCCAAAAGGCAAAGUCACACAAACUAGAUUUUAAACACAAAUAAUCCUUACCUUUGCUACAAAUGUCAUUGUUUUAAGGAAAAUAAGUGUUUUUAAUUCUUAUAUUUUCAGUCAAACUUGGUUUUAUCCCUGUACUUUCAUAUUGGUGAAUUUAAUCCUGUAACUUUUAAAAAUAUGUGAAAGUAGUCUCUCUUCAUGUUUAAACUUAACAUUUAGUGACAAUUUUUUACUUUACAAAGUUGAAAGAUGGACUAAAUUCACAUAUUUUCUUAAGUUGAAAGAUGAAUCAAAAACAUAUUUUUCUCUUUUAAUUUCAACCAGAGGAUGAGUAUUAGAUUUCAUGCUAGUUUAAGAAAAUUUUCAGUUUUAUAUCAAUGAUGUUUGAAUGUUGGGAAGAAAAAUCGAAGUCAUGCUGCAAGUGGAUUUCUUAUGAUUGUAUCACAAUUUUUUGUACUUUAAUCAGAAAUGUCGUCCAGUCCAAUCCAAAGGGAUAGAAAAUAAUAAACAUUAGAAAAUGUAAAGGAAGAAAAAAAUAACCAAAAGAUAUAGUAAAAUUAAUAGAUUUAUUUUCUAAGCAAAAGUAACAACUUUUCUUACAAGGAUAUCCUAACCAAUCCAAGCAAACGAUGCACGACGAUAAACUGCCCAAACCAAGCAAACACUAUGCAGAAUAGAGUAACAACAACUGUUAGAUAUGAGACAGCUCCAAAGAAGGGUGUCUUCACAAAUGUUUGAGCAUGUUGUUGAAACUAUCUCAAACUAUAAGUAUUUUGCUGUCAAUUUCAAAUUGGGUACAUAUAUUCCCUAUUUAAAAGAGAUUAGAUUAGCAUAAUAUCCACACAUUUAAGUUCUUUAACCUUUUAAGACUAUUGAUUCUUGAUACUUACAAUGAACAUUUUAGAUUUUUCUAUUCCCAUAUAAUUUAAAAAAAAAACAAAAAAAGACUCAUUAAUCUAAAUCCAAAAUUUCUUCACACACCCCAUCCCCAAUUCCAUUUAAUCAUACCUUAGCUUCAAACCAACCAUCUUUGCGUGGUAGUUGUAGUUUUUUUUUGUUCAAAUUAUAUUUCCAUAGUCCAGUUCAUACCAGCAGAGAUAUCACUGCAUGGAAGCCUAGUUAAUUAGACCAUAAUCUAAAAAAAACAUUAAAUGAAAAUAUUUUAUAUUACCUUCUUCUAAUGUUUCUUGUGUACGGAACACAACGACAUACAUCACCUUUAAUGGUAACCACCAGCAUAACAACAUGACAUUAAAUUAUAAUUUUGUAUUCUUUGUUAUUCAUAGAAUAAUAUUAGAUAAUUACUCUAGGAUAUAACUUUGAAAUGACCAUAUUGAUAUUUUUGUUGUCAAAACAAUACACGUAAUUCAUCAAGUAAGCACAAAGCACUAAUUCAUCAAGUAAUCAAUACACGUAAACAAUGUUAGAAUUAGGUGCAAUUCAUGUAUCAUAUGUUGAACAAGUUCCCUCCUUCAUCACAUGUUAAAUGCAUUUAGUUUUAAUAGAAAUUAGUUCUUAGGAAGUAGCACCCUCACUAUUCCUGAGAAUUCUACCUUCACCACGAGAUCCUAAAGAUUCCAAAAAUAAAAAUCAGAAAAUGAAAAGCACCACAUUCCAAUUUAAUUGGACAAGGAGCUUGUAAAGUGAAAAAAAGGCAUGUAAAAGUAGCAAAUAAAACUUGAACUACACACCUUCUAUGAUAAGGCAACCUGCUCCAUAUAAUAACUGUUGGGUGAAAUUGUACAAACUCCAUAUCCUAAAAAAUUUAUGGUGAGGAUGUGAAUGAUAAAAGACUAAUGUCAAAGGAUAUCAUGUUAAUAUUGAAAAGCAACCAAAAGGGAAAAGCACACCUCAAGAGAGAUCCCACCACUUGCAACCAUGGCAUUGCCAUCUCCAAUACAAGUAUGUGUUGAGGUUGCAGAGAAGUAUGGUUUGUAAAUCUUUAAGGGGUUUCCUAGACUAUCAAUGAUAGGAAACAACAGGAUCUUGAAACCUAUGAUUCUCACAAACAAUCAAUAAACAACAAUAGAUAAUGAUGUGUACCUUUCUCCAUAGGAAGACUUGUACCUUUCUCCAUAGGAACUUCUCUCCGGUGCACUUUGAUUUCCUUGAAAGAGGAGAGAAAUAAGAUUUCACUUCCUUAGGCCUUUCUUUUCUGCCUCUCUCCGUUCGUGAUGGCUAUGGGUGAGAGAAAACACUUUUCUGGUCAGGAAGGAGACCUUAUUUCACGUUAGUGGGUAUUAAGCCCCUUUUAUAACUACUACUCCCAUCAAGUAACAGUUAGCUCUAUAAACUUCUCCUUUUAAGCCCAAUUACAAUUUAGCCCUUAAUCGUUAAUUAUUUACUUAUUAGUCCCUACAUAAGUCACAUGCCUCUCACAUGAGACAUUAAUUCUAACAUUCUCCCACUUGGCUCAUGUGACAUUAAUAAACAUUAUGGACUAAAUAAAUGAAUAGAUUAACUAACAUAAUGCGCAUUAAAAAUGACUAAAUUGUUAUGUACAUUGGGUACAUCAUAAUUUCAUGAUUAAGAAUAUGAACCAAUUCGAGUCAUGGCGGUUGUACAUCAUCUAAUCGAUAUAGUCCCUUCCAUGUACUACAAAUUAGUCUUCUCCUUAAUAUGACCAUUAGUUAGGAGUACAUAAUUGAUCAAACAUAAUGUCUUCAUUCAAGACAAAACCUGUUAACAUUACUCUAACACAAACAUGCAUGCAAACAUAGAGAACAGGUAAUCAGAAACAUAUUAUAAUUGAGCUCAGAGUGUCACUAAAAAUGCAUAAGAUAAAUUACACUUAAUGAUCAUCAAUAACAAUAAUGCCCAUACUUUCAACAUGUUCUAUAAUGUCUUGGGCGGUAAUCCCUUAUUCAAAGGGUCAAUCAUCAUAAGGUUUGUGCUAAUUUAUUUUAUUGACACUCUUUGUUUCUGAACAUCUUCCUUCACGACAAAGUACUUCAAUUUCAUAUGCUUAGCACCCUUAGAGUACUUGUCGUUCUUACAAAAAUAUUGCUGCGGAGUUAUCACAAUACAUCUUUAGUGGCCAAGCGAUACUGUCGACAAUUCCAAGCCCUGAAUUAAAGUUUCGCAACCAAUUAAUCUGAAUUGUAGCCUCAAAACAUACUACAAAUUCAGCUUUCAGAUGCAACAACAACUGAUGCAUACAAAAUAGCUUUCAUUUAUUUUCGUUCCAUAUCAUUUCUAGGACAUUGUGCGAGACCAAAUUUGUCUUCUUUCUAAAUUAGAACAGGUAAUGUUAAACACCUUUCCAUCUUGAAUCUCUCUAGCACUUUAUCAAUAUAUAUACUUUUUGAGAUAAGCCUAACAAUCCUGGUGAUCUAUUAUGGAAUAUUUCUAUCCCUAUCACAUAGCUUAUCUCACCCAUAUCUUUCACGUCAAAGUGUCUAGAGAGAAAUUUCUUAGUCUCAUGAAGAAGACCAAGAUCGGUAGCUGCAAGCAAGAUAUCAUCAAUAUACAGAAUUAGAAAAAUAACCUUACCCCCACUGACCUUCAGAUACAUACACUGAUAAACAGUAUUUGCCUUAAAUCUAAAGGAAACAAUGACAUCAUUAAACCUCAAAUACCAUUGGCAAGAAGCUUACUUUAAGACUGUAUAUUGAUUUCUAGUUUGCACAUUAUGUGUUCCUUACCCUCAACUGAGAACCCCAUUGGUUGGUCCAUACAAACAUUCUUCUCUAAAUCUCCAUUAAGAAAGGCAGUUUUCACAUCCAUCUGAUAUAGCUCCAAGUCAUAAUGGGCUACUAAUGCCAUGAUAAUCCUGAAAGAAUCCUUUCGUGAGACCGGUGAAAACGUCUCUUUAUAAUCAAUGUCAUCUUUCUGAGUAAAUCCCUUAGCAACAAGUCUAGCCUUGUAAUGUUCAAGGUUGCCAUGAGAGUCACGUUUAGUCUUGAAGAUCCACUUACAACCAACUCUCUUACAACCCUUUGGUAAUUCUACAAGGUCCCAAACACCAUUAUGUUCCAUGGAAUUUAUCUCUUCUUUCAUGGCAUUUAACCACUUCUCAGAACUAUCACAACUUACAACUUGUGAAAACAAAAUUGGAUCAUUAUCAUUAAUGCUUAAGUUUGUUUCUGUUUCAUGUAGGUAUACCACAUAAUCAUUCGAAAUAGUUGGUCUCCUUUUAUCUUUGAGACCUCUUUAAUGCUACUUCUUGUGGUUCUUCCAUAAUAGGUUCAUUAUGCAUUAUGGGUUCAUUAUUGUAUUGCUCAUCUUCAUUAAUUUUGUAACAACUAAAAGAAGCAAUCACCUUACUUCUAGAGGCACAAACUAAAAGGACUUGCACUCUAACUUCUUUAAUUUCCACUUCUUGUGGAACUAUACUCCCACUGAUUUUAUCAUUUUCAAUGAACCUUGCAUUUCCAGUUUCAAAAAUUCUCAUACUAUGAUUAGGACAAUAAAACAUAUACCCCGCUGAUUUUCUGGAUAACCAAUGAAAUAUCCACUGAUUGUUCUUGUAUCCAAUUUUCUUUAUUGUGGAUUAUAAAUCCUUAUUUCUGCCUGGCAACCCCAAACAUGCAGGUGCCUUACACUAGGUGUCCUAUUUGUCCACAGUUCAAAGGUGUCUUUGGAACUGUCUUACUAGGAAUCCUAUUCAACAAAUACAUAGCAGUUUUCAAGGCAUACAUCCACAAAGAUACGGGUAAAGUCAAAUUGAUUAACAUACUCCUAAUCAUAUCCAUUAAAGUUCUAUUACGCCUUUCUGAUACACCAUUUUGUUAUGGUGUACCGGACAUUGUGUAUUGUGCACAAAUGCCACGUUUUUGAAGAGGCUUAGCAAAUGGACCUGGGUGUUGCCCAACUUCAUCAUAUCUUCCGUAAUACUCUUCACCUCUAUCAUAUCUAAUAAUUUUCACAUUUAUGUCUAAUUGCCUUUUUACUUCAUUGUAGUAAAUUUCUAAGGCAUCCAUUGCCUAAGAAAUCUCGGGCAGUAAGUAGACAUAAUCGUAACGUGAAUAAUCAUCAAUAAUGGUGAUAAAAUAUCAUUCCUUUUCGAAAGAACUAAAAUCAAAAGGUCCACAAAUAUCAGUAUGCACAAUUUCAAGAAGCUGAGUGCUUCUUGUAGCUCUUUUCUUUGUAUGUUUUGCUUGUUUUCCCUUAAUACAACCCACACAAAUAUUUAGAUCCAUAAAAUCUAGAUAAGGAAGAAUUUCAUUCUUUAUUAAUCUUCCCAUCCUUUCUCUAGAAAUGUGACCUAAACGUUUAUGCCACAAAGAGUAUCCAGUAACAUCAAGUUUAGAUAAUGAAACUAAAUUACUAGAUAAACUAGUUACAUAAAGAGUUUCCAAUAAAUCUAAAUGAUGUUCAGUGUCGAGUUUUACACAAUAAGUCUCGACUGCUUACAUUGGAGUUUCACUCUAUUCCCCAUGAAAAUGAACUUCUCAUUUGGGUUUAUGGUUUGGAUUGUAAGGAAUCUCUGCAUAAUGUUAGAAACAUGAGUCAUACAUCCAGAAUUAAUCCAUCAUGUAUUAUGGGAAACUUUAGUUAAGUUUGAUUCAAAACAUACAUGAGCAUUAAGCCCACUUUUCUUUUCGAACCAAGACUCGCACUUUAGGUAAUCCUUCUAGAAAUGUCCUGAUUUCCUACAAAAUUGACAAUUAUUUCCCUUUGAUACCUUCCUCUAGAUUUGCAAAGAGUAUUGAUUUUUAAUUACCCUCUGCCUUUCUCAUGCUUCUUCAUAAAUUUCUUUCCAGCUCCUUGAUUCCCUUGGUGACUUUCAUAAUGGACUGAGUGACUUCCUUGAUUUUUAAGCCUCGUUUCUUCCUGAACUAACAUAUUGUGCAAUUCAUGCACAUUCCAUUUAUCUUUAUGGUAUUAUAGUUCAUUUAGAACGGGCCAAACUCAGGCGGUAAUGAGUUUAGAAUAAACUAAACAAGAAAGUUCUCAUUCACAGCCAUUAUAUUCCCAAGGUCUUAAGUCUUGUUGCAAUGUUUGUCAUCUCAAUGACAUGUUCAUACAUAGUACGUGAGCCAUCAAACUUCAUGGUGACCAAUAUACUCAUUAAUGUCCCAACAACAGACUUAUUAUCUGUUUGAGAGCGCUCUCCCACUAAUCACAUAAACUUUUUAGCACUUUCGAUUUUAGGGAGAGUUGUCUUAAUACUGUCAGCAACAGUCAUUCUCAUCAACAUUAGACUGAGUCUGUUAGAUGUUUCCCAAGUUUUAUAAUGAACUUUCUCUUCAUUUCUACUAACAUUAAUAAUAGUAACAAACUUCUCUUCCAACAUAGCAAGAUCAUGAUCCAAAACACCGAGGUGAAAUUGGACUUGCUCAUUUUAGUCAGAGAAGUUAAGUCCAUUAAAAUUGGCUCAGAUGAUACAUAAGAAUCCAAUGAAUUCAAAACAUGUAUUACAUAAUAAAAUUCACAUAAGUGUUUUGAGACAUAAAAUACAUGUCAUACAUAUGAUUCAUUCAGAUAACAGUCAAUGUAUAUUGAUGUUCUCCUUUGGGUGAUACACCAACACACAACAUACAAACAUAAUGAUGCUAAUAAAAUUUUAACAUUAUUUGGCAAUUAAAUAUGCACAAAUUAGUAGUAUCUAUUUCCUUUGGGCAUAUAAAUAAAACUAAUGAUACACACAAAUCGCCUACAAUUAUAUUAAUUAAUUAUAAGAACAACUAAUCAACCUUUGGGCGAUCCAUAAAUGCCUUAUAACAAUGAAUUUCAAUUACCCAUAAACCAAUAACCAUAUAAUUUAACAUCCAUUAUUCUAUGAGUAAUCAAAAUAAUCAUUAAUUUUGGAAUUAAAUAACCUUAUAAAUUUGGCCACUUUGGUGACUAACAAAUUCAACAUACAUUUAAUUCCAACCAAGUAUAAUUGAAAUAAUCAUUAAUUUGGAAUUAAAUAACCUUACAAAUUUGGCCACUUUGGUGACUAACAAAUUCAACAUACAUUUAAUUCCAACCAAAUAUGUAUGACCUGCACAUACUUAUUGCUAUUAACAAUUCAUAGUCAUUCUAUUAAUUUCAUUCCAGGCCAUAAAAUAAUAUUUGCAUUUAUUUGUGUUUUUGCAUUCAAACACGUUCAAGCAAAUAUGUACCAUAUACAUAUAUUUAUUGCUACCAAUAAUUGCAAAACAUUCAUAUUAAUUUAAUUACAGAACAUAAACUUUCAAUUCUUUAAUCACGUUCAACAAUAAUUUUUCGGGAAAAAAAAAAGAUCAAGUGGGAUUGGAAAUAACAAACAUAAGGUUGCAAAUAGAAAUUUCCAAAAUUUCUUAUUCUUCCCUACCGAAAACCUAGGCGCAGUUUUUCAAAAUUGAAAUUGAAUCUUUAUGUUAAUGGGCACGCUUCCUUUCUUUCACCAUUAGAAGUAAAAACUUUCUCCAAAUUUAAUAUAUACAUGCCGUGCAGCUUUCUCUCCGAUAAUCAUAAGUUUUCAAAUAAUCUUUCUCCAAAAAUUGGUAUUCAACAAUAAUAAAAUAUCGUCAAUAAAACAAUACAUGCAACGAAAAAUAAAAUUCCUAAAUUUUAUAAUUAGGAUUUAUGCAUAAUUGGGAGAAAUUAAAUUAUCCCUAAAUCUCAUAAUUAGGGUUCAUGCAUAAUUGGGAGAAAUUAAAUCAUUCUUGGAGAAUCAUAAAUUUCAUAACACAUGCUCUGAUACCACAUGUAAAUCUUUAAGGGGUUUCCUAGACUAUCAAUGAUAGGAAACAACAGGAUCUUGAAACCUAUGAUUCUCACAAACAAUCAAUAAACAACAAUAGAUAAUGAUGUGUACCUUUCUCCAUAGGAAGACUUGUACCUUUCUCCAUAGGAACUUCUCUCUGGUGCACUUUGAUUUUCUUGAAAGAGGAGAGAAAUAAGAUUUCACUUCCUUAGGCCUUUCUUUUCUGCCUCUCUCCAUUCGUGAUGGCUAUGGGUGAGAGAGAACACUUUUCUGGUCAGGAAGGAGACCUUAUUUCACGUUAGUGGGUAUUAAGCCUCAUUUAUAACCACUACUCCCAUCAAGUAGCAGUUGGCUCUAGAAACUUCUCCUAUUAAGCCCAAUUACAAUUUAGCCCUUAAUAGUUAAUUAUUUACUUAUUAGUUCCUACAUAAGUCACAUGUCUCUCACAUAAGACAUUAAUUCUAACAUGGUCUACCAUAACCCUGAAGUAGAAUAAAGGAUCGCACUUAUCCAUAAAUAAGUGAAAUAAAAUAAAAUAAAAAUCAGCAUCAAGCAUCGUCUUAGAAAAUUGUUACCCUUGUGGCUAAAAUUGUCGAAGCAGCUUUGAAACGAUGUAGUGUUCCAUCCUCCAUAUUCAAGGAAAUCACUCCUUGACAUCCUUUUACGUUUGCAAACUUCUGCCCAAACACACACUAAGUGAUCAAUAUAUUGUAGAUAACACAUCGACAAGAUGCUAUAUGGUCCCAUUGUUUAUCUUAUGAAUGGUCCUAGGCAGGAAAAACAGGAAAAAAAAAGAGAAGCUUAUAAGUAGAGCCUAUAAACUACUACUAGGCAGUACUUCCCACCAUUUGACAAAGGGUAGAGAAGUAGGAGCAAUAAUACAAGAGAGAAGAGAUUCAUAGUAUUUGAUUAAUUGUCAUAUCAUUCAUUAGUUUAAAGACCCCACAGUUGUUAUCCCAGUGCUUAAAUUUCUUGGGUCCUACACUAUUUACAAAUUCCCUGUCACCCCAAAGAUAUUGAAUGAAAGAUGUAAGAAAAGCCUGGUUAUUCUGAAAUGGCAUGGGAUUUCAUUUAAAAAUAUAAGGAACAAAGAAUACUUACGGCCACGGGCCAUCACCAAGGAGAAGAAUGUCAUUCCCUUGGUCAACAAAUACAAGCUGCCAGUCUGAUCUCACAGGGUCCUCUAACUUACCUUCAAGGCCGAACAUACGAGCAAGCUCGUCAGUCAAUCGUUUUUGAGAAAAAAGAUCAAUGCAAAAUAUGUCAAAUUGUCAAUACCAGACUUUCAAGUAUGUAAUAAUUAUAUACUUGGAAAUAUGGUUAUUUAUUUGAUUCCUUUUGUUAUAGUGUACUGGACUAAUUAUUAGUUAUUAGAAGCAUGGACAAUUCUAAAUAAUAUUUGUAAAUGUGUUGUACUUGUGUCAAACAAAUGCAUCUAUAUAUGUUGAUAUUGCACAAAAACUUUCAAUAUCAUUCGAUCUGGUGUAUUUUGCAUGUAAUUUUUUUAAACCUUUUACCAAUACAAUUUUGAAUAUCAUGAUAUAUAUAAAUAGAUACAAUUUUGCAUGUAUUUUAUUACGUUUAUAAUGUCAUAUAAACUAAUUCAAUUUAUACAAUUAAAAAAAACUCAUUUAUGAUAUUAAUAACGGCUUAAUAUCAAACACUCAGGCUAAAGAGUUAUAUCAUUCAAAAAAAACUUUUAAAUAAAUUUUUUAAGUUUAAUUAAAUGCCUGCAAUUUUAAAACAAUAUUAAUGCUAACUCCAAGUUAGUGAUUUGACAAAAAGAAGUUUCUUAAAUAAAACAUCAAAAGUGAAAAUAGCAAGUAAGCAAUGCACAUAUAUGAUAUUGAACCAUAGAAAUUUUGGGGGGAAAAAAUGGAACUAGAUUAUGCCAAAAUAGUUUUAUAUAGUCAAACAAUUAUUCAUUUAGUUACAUACUUUGAAUGCUAAAGUGAAAGUUUCUAAAAUAAUUGCACUGACUUUGAACUUCUUAUUAUAUCUUCUUAUUAACAGAAUUUGCUACUUUAAACUUAUUAAACUUACCGUUAGGUGUGAUAGGAGAAUCAUCAAUCUAAUUAUGAAACGAUAUCCUUCCGAAUGGGAUAAAAUAAUUCCUUAUAUAUUAUUUACUAUUCCUAUUUCUUCUAUUAAUUGAAGAAAUAAUUUGAAAAUAAAACAGCAAGUACAAAAAUGAGUAAUAACCCCCCAGUAGAGACUGGUACGAUUCAAUUCAACAUUUUUUUCAUUUGGGUUUGAUUGUGUCGUAGCUCUAUAAUUCAAAUUAGGUUUAUCGUUGGAUGAACUGCAUUGCUGAUAUUGAUCCCAAAAAAGAAACACUGGGUACCGCUAGUCUGUGAACAGCCAACCAUCAUACUGUAAAAAUUGGAUAGGUCCUAUCUAUGGUCAUUGGAGCCUCCUAAAAAGAUCUAUUAAAUUCAUCAAGUUGUUCCAAAGGAUCAAAACGGCCAGUUAUUAAUGGAAUUCCUUGUCGGCUCUCUGUAAAAUAUUUGUUUGGGCGGGGACUUUCAAAAACAUCGUAAGCUAGACCCGUGCUGACAAAUAACCAACCUGCAAUGAAUAGGGAGGGUAUAGUAAUGCUAUGAAUAAUCCAGUAUCGGAUACUGGUAAUAAUAUCAACAAAAGAACGUUCUCCUGUGCUUCUAGACAUGUUGAACUCCACAUAUUCUUGUACAGUCAAAAGGGGGAUCGAUUCCAUAAAAGACGAGAUCAGUAAGUAGAAAUUUACUGAAAUGUAAUCCUUGUUAGAUCGUCCAUUUUGUACCAACGGUGUCUUUUGAGUAUACCGAAUCAGUAUAGCUAUCCUUCUUCUAACAGAGCAAUGAAAUUUCACAAUCGAAAUCUAGGACUAGAUAAGUUCUUUCUUCUUUCUUCAUUGAUUGUCUCGAUGUAUUCAAAAAUCCGAUAGAAAAUUUUUUAAUAGUACAUUUUUAUAGUAAUAGUAUAAAAUGAAGGUUCUUCACAUUUCACAUUAUUAUUUUCGGACUAAAAAUUAAGUAUCAAUUAAAAUCAGAAUAUGGUAAAUUGGUUUCUUAGAAUUCAUAAAGGAGAUUUUAUAUUUCUAGAAUUCAAUUAGAUGCCAAAUCUAUAAAUAUACUUUUUGUGGUUGUUGAAGAUAUUUUUUCUAUUUUCUUCUAUAUCAAUUCAAAAUUAAAUAAAUUGAAAUAACAAAGUUAAUUUUCUGUUUUUAUUUUAAUAUUCAUUUUUCUUUCUAAUAGAAAUAGAAUUCUAUUCUAGAAUAAUAUAUGAAAUAAUACGAAAGAUUUUCAUUAUCAUUAGAUUAGUUUACUCAAUUCUUGAGUUGAUUAAUAAGUCUGUUGAUUUGGAAUCACAGGAUGAGUAGAUGUCACAGAUGAUGAAUUUAUUUCUAAAUUAUGUCAUUCUAUUUCUCUUUUUAUUCGUUUGUAAUAAUUUAUUAAUGAAUCUCCAAUUUUCAAUUAUAUCUUUUAAGUAGUAUUUUUUCUUAUCUUCUUUUUUCUCUCAAAAAUGGAAAUUUAGGGAAGUGCUUUAUAAACAGAUGUAUAAAAAUAACAUAUUUCAUUUAGCUUAUAUCUGCUCACUAUAACUAGUUAUUUUGGUUUUUUACUAGUAGUUUUAAUUAUAACCUCAUCUCUAUUUAUUGGUCUGAGUAAAAUACGACUUAUUUGAUUUGUAAUUUUGAGAGGAAUAGUCAAUUUUGGAAUAAGACAUUCUAUAGUUCCUUACUGUGUCAAUUUACAAUUAUCAGCCGUUGAGAUUCAUGAUCAAUACAGAUUAAUGGUUAAGGAUAAAUAUUACCUUUCUUUUUACCUUUUGAACAAAUAAAAAUGAUUGAAGUUUUUCUAUUUGGAAUCAGGUUAGGUUUAAUUCCCAUUACUUUGGCUGGAUUAUUUGUAACUGCAUAUUUACAAUACCGACGAGGUGAUCAGUUGAAUCUUUGAUUAAUUAAUGUCUCUUUUUUUGUGGAUUCCCUAUUUUUUUUGUUUUAAUCCUAAUCCACAAGGAUUAAAUUCAGACUUUUUAAUGUUUAAUUAUUUCAGUGUAAUUAUCAUUCGAAAAAUACUAGAAUCAUGUUCUGUAGGAUUUGAAUCAUCACGCUCUGUAGGAUUUGAACCUACGACAUCGGGUUUUGGAGACCUGCGUUCUACCGAACUGAACUAAGAGCGCUUUGUUUUCAUAAAUUAUUUUAUAUGAUCCAAAUCCAUUUUACAUGUAUAUACUAUAUCAAUAUAUAUACAUAUAGAUAUUCGGUAUGUAUGUCCAAUUGGAAUUCAUCUUCAAUUGGUUCCAUUUUAUUGCUCAUCUCAUAUAAUAAAUAUAUAAUACGGAAUAUCAUAUGAUAAGUAAUAGUUAGGGAUAGGGAUGACAGGAUUUGAACCCAUGACAUUUUGUACCCAAAACAAACACGCUACCAAGCUGCGCUACAUCCCUUUUCCAUUUGUUUCUAGUGUUAUUGUAAAGAAUCUUUGUCUUGUUUUCUUCAUUUUUAUCUGUUGAUAUAUAUAUAUAUAUAUAUAUAUAUAUAUAUAUAUAUAUAUAUAUAUAUAUAUAUAUAUUCUUUAGAAUAAUAAAAAAGAAUAUUAAAUUCAAAUAAAUUAUAGAUAGAAAAAAGACUUAAAAAAGAGGAUUUGAAAUGCGAGAUCUAAAAACAUAUCUUUCCGUGGCACUAGUAGUAAGUACUCUAUGGUUCGGGGCUUUGGCGGGUCUCUUGAUAGAGAUCAAUCGUUUUUUUCCAGAUGCAUUGAUAUUCCCUUUUUUUUCAUUCUAGUUAUUGACACAGAAAGGGGUGAAGAAGAUUAUUGAUCCAAUUAAGUAUUAAAUAUAUGUAAUUAAUCUCUUCUUCUUUAUUUCGUCUUUUAUUUCUUCUUUUUUUUACAAUUAUAAUAGAAUAAGUUAGGAAAGAGAAAGAAUAAGGGUUAAUUUGGCCUAAUUGAAAUUCGGAGUGAAACUCGGGAUCUCGUCCAGGCUUCCAUGGAAUUGAAUUAAUAAUUCAAUUCCAUUUCUAUUAAUAAAAGAGUGAAAGCAGAAAUUUAAAUGGAAUGUAUAGGGUGGGGGCAACAAUUGUUGGAGUCUAACAGAACUUACAUAAAAGAUAAAAUGUAAAGGAAGGAAUUCAUUCACAGUUAUUGAAAAGCAAACCUGGCUAAUAUAUAGCCUUACAUCAGAAUAAAGAAAACUGAAAAAUAAAACUGCUCACGCAUACAUGACCCACUAUUUCCUAAUAAUGUGCUAGACAUAUUCAAAAACAUAACUGCUCCUAAAAAUAUGGAACCAUAAGCUCACUAACAAAUCCUCCCUUAAACUGAAUGCUAUAUGCAAUUAGUUUAUAUCAGACUCUGAACACAAUCCUAGUGACCUGCGUAGCUUUAAGAAAGUAUCAAGCUUAAGUGGUUUGGUCAUAAUAUCAGCCACUUGUUCUUGUGUCCCACAAUGCAUCAUCUUGAUAGUUCCGGCCUUUGUAAGAUCUCGAAGGAAAUGAAAUCGGACGUCAAUAUGUUUACAACGACCAUGCAUCACUGGAUUCUUCGAAAGCUUAAUAGCAGAGCUACUAUCACAAUGAAUUACAGUAGCUUGGUCUUGCAUUUUACACAAUUUUCCCAACACCCUUUUCAACCAUAUGGCUUGACAAGCACAUGAUGCUGCACCUAUAAACUCUGCCUCUGUAGUUGAUAGACUCACAAUUGGUUGUUUUUUUAUGACCACGAAACAGCAGCUGAACACAAUAAGAAAACAUAACCCGAAGUACUUUUUCUGUCAUCCAAAUCCCCUGCAUAAUCGCUGCCAGUGUAAGCAAGAAGCUCUUUGUUUCCUCCCUUUUUGUAGAAAAUUCCAAACUCAGUUGUUCCCUUUAAAUAUCUCAGCACCUUUUUGGCUGCUAGUAAAUGCAGCUCAGUAGGAUUCUCCAUGUACCUGCUAAUUAAGUUCACCACAAACAUCAUAUCGGGUCGAGUAGAUGUUAGAUACAUAAGACAUCCCACAAUUUAUUUAUAGUAAGUCUUAUCCACCUUUACACCAGUGUCGUCCUUUGUGAGUUUAACACCAGGAACAAUUGGAGUUUGCACCGAAUUGCUUUUAUCCAUUCCAAACCUUUGCAGCAUCUCUAAUGCAUAUUUCUUUUGACAUAAGAAAACGCCAUCUAUUCGUUGCAUCACUUCAAGACCCAGAAAAUAUCUCAUAUUACCAAGAUCUGUCAUGUCAAAUUCAUGCUUCAUGGAGCUUUUAAAUUUUGCAAACAUCAACUCAUCAUUUCCAGUAAAAAUAAGGUCAUCAACAUACAAGCUAACAAUUAAUAUUAUAUCUUCAUUUUCUCUCUUCACAAACAAAGUAUGCUCAUAGUCACACUUCUCAAAUCCUUCCUUCAGAAAAUAUGCUUCUAUGCGACUAUACCAAGCACGUGGUGCUUGCUUAAGUCCGUAAAGGGCUUUCUUCAACUUAUACACUUUAUGCUCUUCCCCUUUUUGUUCAUAACCACAAGGUUGGUCCACAUAUACUGUUUCAUCCAACUCUCCAUGUAAAAAUGCUGACUUUACAUCCAGCUAAUAGAUUGCCCAUCCCUUUUGAGCUGCAAGUGCUACCACCAAACGAAUUGUCUUCAUUCGUGCCACUGGUGCAAAUACUUCUGUAUAGUCUACCCCAUAUUCUUGUGCAUACCCCUUCACUACAAGCCUAGCUUUGUACUUGUCCACUUCUCCAUUCUCUUUGAAUUUUGUCUUAUAAAUCCACUUUACUCCAACUUUUUUUGCUCCAUCAGGUAAUUCCAUCAAUUCCCAUGUGCCAUUUUUGUUUAUUGCUUCCAUCUCCUCAUCCAUGGCUUUCCUCCAUUUUGCAAUUUGAACAGCUGCAUCAAAGUGAGUAGGAUCACUUUCACCAGUUGCAGACAUAGCCAGAUUAGCUUCUGUACUGCCUUCAGAAAGUCCUUCUCCAGUUUCAUAAUCUUCCAUCCAAAGGGGUGGUCUUCUACACCUUCGUUGAACAGGACUAGAAGUGUUUACUUCGGCCAUAGAAUCAGAGGAAAUAAUAAUAUCCUCUUAUGGGGUAUCAGUAUUGUGUCGUACCUCAUGUUCUUCUUCUACAACAGCUUCCACAUCCUUAUCACCCCAAUCUAAAUCACAUAAGAUGGUUUCUCCAUACUGCUUAUCCCAAUCCCAACGUUUAUCUUCGUCAAAGACAACAUCUCUGCUUAUUAUGAUCUUUUGUGAAAUCGGAUCAUAAAGUUUGUAUGCUUUUGAUACUUCACUAACCCCCAACAAAACACAACACAAACUUUUAUCAUCUAGCUUGGUUCUUUUAGCAUCAGGCACAUGAACAUGAGAAAUACAUCCAAAAACUCUAAAAUACUUAACUGAAGGCUUGACUCCACUCCAGGCUUCUUCCGGCGUUUUAUUUCUCACUGCUAAUGUGGGACUCCGAUUCAAAAUAUGCACAGACUAGGUGGCAGCUUCAGCCCAAAAAGUUUUGGGCAUUUUCUUCUCUGAGAGCAUGCUCCGAACCAUGUUCAUGAUGGUUCUAUUUUUCCGUUCUGCAAUUCCGUUCUGCUGUGGUGUGUAUGCAGCUGUCAGUUGCCUACGAAUACCAUUGUCACAACAAAAAUUGGUGAAAUCCUGUGAUGUAAACUCUCCCCCACGAUCAGUGCGCAAACUUCUGAUUAAUGAGUCAGCUUCUUUCUCAACAAGAAUUUUAAAUUUCUUAAAGACAGAAAGAGCUUCUGAUUUUUCUGUCAAGAAAUAAAUCCAAGUUUUUCUACUGAAAUCAUCAAUAAAGGUGAGCAAAUGCCUCUUUUUGCUGUUGGAGAUAGGUGUGAUUGGUCCACAAAUAUCUGCAUGAAUUAAUUGUAGAACCUGUGUAGCCCUCCAAGUACUCUUCUUUGGGAAUGAAGCUCGUGAUUGCUUCCCUACCAAGCAGUCCUGGCACAGUUUUGUUGGUGCUUUCAUUGUUGGAAAACCAUAUACCAUGCUCUGCUGGUAAAGCGUAUUUAAACCCCGAAAACUCAAAUGUCCAUAUCUGCAAUGCCAAAGAUGCACUAUAUCCUCUGUAACUGUGUGAAAGCAAGUGGAUUUGGUAGGUUGAGAUAUGGCAUGUAGCAUGAACAUUCGAUUGGAAGAGAUUCUGGUUUCCAUGAUUAAACCGUUUUCAGGAUGAAACACCUUGCACUUUCCAUGUUGAAACAGAAUACUAAGUCCCUUUUCUUGUAAUUGCCCAAUACUUAGUAAGUUAUUCCUUAAAUCUGGCACAAAAAAAACUCCAGUAACAGUAUAAGUGUUGUCAUUCAUGUUUAUCCGAACGUUACCUUUGCCCGUUACAGCCAUACUGGAAUUAUUGCCCAAUUUGACUGAAUCUUUGUAAUUUUCAUCAAGAUCUGAGAAAUAUUCCUUCUUACCGCACAUGUGAUUGCUACGUCCAGAGUCAAGAAACCACACAACUUCUUCAUUUGCCUUAGUCACGUCUAUGCAGGCCAUCAAUAACAUUUCAUCAUCGUUUUCUACAUAGUUGGCCUCCUUUCUUUGGUUUAAACAUUCCCAGCUGAAAUGUCCGAGUUGAUGACAAGUGUAGCACUCCACAGUGGAUUUUUCAAAUGCCUGUCUGCCACGUCCUCGGCCUCGUCCUCUUCCUCUUCGUCCAAAGCCUCCACGACCUCGCCCCUGUUCUGCAUGUUGACCUGUAUGAGCAAUCUGCAAGGCCUGCGCUUCUUCUACAUGAGAAGUCAUGCGUAGUUCAUGGACAAGAAGACUACUUUGCAAUUCAUCAAUGGUCAAUGUGUCUGUAUCCUUAGACUCCUCAAUGGAACACACAACAUAAUCAAACUUGGGAGUCAUGGAUCUCAGAAUUUUUUCAACUACAGCCACAUCUCCUUUGUUUUCACCAUUAGCCUUCAUCUUGUUGGCUAUGGCAAGUGUCCGAGCAAAAUAAUCGUUUACAGAUUCUCCCUCCUUCAUGUGGAGAAUUUCAAACUCUUUUCUUAGAGCUUGCAACUGUGCACGCUUGACUCGUGAAGUGCCUUGGUACUUCUGUUUCAAAGAAUCCCAUAUAUUCUUUGAUGUAUCUUUGUUAAGAAUUGUCUCCAGGACGGAACGAUCUAAUGCUUGAAAUAGGUAGUUCUUUGCCUUCAAAUCUUUUAAUUUCUGAUCAUCAAUAUGCUUCCUCUCUACUUCGGUAAGAGGUGUUCCUUCCACUAAUUCAGGAAUUCCAUUUUCUACCAGACCCCAGUACUCCUUUGAACGUAAGAAAUUCUCCAUGAGUAGCGCCCAAUGAUCAUAAUGCCCGUCAAACUUCGGUAUAGCGGGCUGCACAAACGAACUCUCCGAUGCCAUAGCAUUGCUUAGAAGACUGCUGCUUCUACUUUGAAUCAGGCCUCGUGAUGGUGCUCUGAUACCAGAAUGUUGGAGUCUCACAGAACUUACGUAAAAGAUAAAAUGUAAAGGAAGGAAUUCAUUCACAGUUAUUGAAAAGCAAACCUGGCUAAUAUAUAGCCUUACAUCAGAAUAAAGAAAACUGAAAAAUAAAACCGCUCACGCAUACAUGACCCACUAUUUCCUAAUAAUGUGCUAGACAUAUUCAAAAACAUAACUGCUCCUAAAAAUAUGGAACCAUAUGCUCAGUAACAACAAUAUCAUAAAAAAUACUUAGUUAAAAAAAAUGAAAAUACUGUAUUGCAAUUGUAUUGCAAUUCGAAACAAAAUAUAGUUCGAGAUCAUUGUAUUAUUUUUGUACUAUAUUAAUCUUAAUCUUAAUUGGAACGAAAUCUUUCAAAAUUGGAUUUCGAAUUCUUAAUUUAUAUUUUCAUUUUUUCGUUCUUUUCUUUUUCUUAGAUUAUAAUCCGAAAACAAAAGAGUUAAGUGAAUUAAAAACCCAAGGGAGGUUCAUGGCCAAAGGUAAAGAUAUCCGAGUAAUUGUUAUUUUGAAAUGUACCGAUUGUGAUAAAAAGAGUGUUAAUAAGGAAUCAACGGGUAUUUCUAGAUAUAUAAUUAAAAAGAAUCGACAGAAUACGCCUAGUCGAUUGGAAUUGAGAAAAUUUUGUCCCCGUUGUUUCAAACAUACAAUUCACGCAGAAAUAAAGAAAUAGAUCAAAUUGAUCGCUUGUGUGUUACCCUUCGAACCAAAGAACUUAACAUGUAAAAUGAUCUAUUUUUCUUAUCUAUAUAGAUAGAUCUAUCUAUAUUCUAUCAUUUACAGUUGAAUAUAUACAAAUAUCAGUAUAUAACAACAUAUAUUAAAAAAAUAAUUACAUAUAUUAAAAAAGUCAGAAUAAAAAAACAAAUCCUUUAUUGUAUUUCUUGUAAUAAAUGUGAUUUUUGGAAUAGGAAUAAAUAAACCAUGAAAAAAUCUAAGCGACUCUUUAUGAAAUCCAAGCGAUCUUUUCGUAGGCGUUUGCCCCUGAUCCAAUCGGGGGACCGAAUUGAUUAUAAAAGCAUGGGUUUAAUAAGUCGAUUUAUUAGUGAACAAGGAAAAAUAUUAUCCAGAUGCGAAAAUAGAUUGACCUUAAAACAACAACGAUUAAUAACAAUUGCUAUAAAACAAGCUCGUAUUUUAUCUUCAUUACCUUUUCUUAAUAAUGAAAAACAAUUUGAAAAAAGCGAGUCAACCGCUAGAACUACUACUUUAAGAAAAAAAAAUAUAGAAAUUAAGAACUAUAAAUCCAAUUUUGAAUUGAGAUUUGAAUGAAAUAUUGAUUGAUGUUUUGUUUGAAAAUCACGACAAUUCAAUUUGGGUUUUUAUGUUGUAAAUGGGUAUAGCUUCUAGACCUUGGCUCCUUUUUGAAGUCUGUCAAUAUUUUGUUUAUAGCUGACACACAAGAUGCAGAACCAACCACCUCAACCAUGUGUACAUUCUCAAUAAAAGUAUCUUCAAACUAGCAAUUAAUACAUUUAUCAAAGAAACUAAAACAUCAACUUGAUGACAAAUUGACAGCAUGAUUUUAUUCAAAUUUUCAAAAAUAUAAUAUUCAAGAUCUAAAUAAUAAUUAUAGUUCGCUGGAUUAUUCUUAAGCGCCUAAGACUAAGAGAGAUUAAGGGAAUCAGCCAAUAUAAUCAGCAGAUGAGCGGUCUAGUCCGCUACUUCCAGCUCAGGAGGAUCCACGGAAGAUGUUACCCCCACCAACUACCAGUGCAACUUGAAACAUCAGCCUAAUUGUUUAAACCAAAAGUCUGAAAACCAGUAAAAAGCUUUGAAUAACUUCAGGUCAAAUGUUCUAACUUGCAGUGAUAUCAUAAAGUCUCCCAAUGUUACUGCCAAAUACAAAAAUAGAUCCGUGUAUCACUUCUCCUAAAGAUUAAUUUGUAAAACACAUCGUCAACGACAAUUUCACAAAACUACUGUAAAUUUCACAUAUUCAAUUAGUCAAAUGAUCUCAAACAACAGAUGAUGCAGCAGAAAAACUAGAACAAAAGAAAAAAAUGUAUUACCAUAAAAGAAUCCAUUGUAGUCACCUCAAUGCCAAGGCGAGUCACUGCUGCCACCUCCCUUGCAAUGGCCAUGGUUAUCUGUAUCCAACCAUAAAACAAUAAUUUAAGAAAUGAUGCCGAGAACAACAUGAUGUAUCAAAAUAUUUCAUUUUAUUUCAAUUAUGUUUUCAGGAAUUAUGCAUUGUCACUCUUCUCUAAUUAACUUGUUUUCUCAUUUCCCUAAAAUGUCCCUUUAAGUAAUUAAGCCAUAGCAAAUAUAUAUUGCCACUGUUAUAUCUAUUAUGUAUACUUGUAAUUAACAAUUAGAAAACUAAUUUUAAAUAAUAAAGGCAAUAACACACAAUAAAAUAGUAGAAAAAUGUCCUGCUCCUGCAAGUGAGAAGUUAUUAAAAAAAGAAGAAGGGAAUAGAGUGGGAAAGCAAAGCAGGGUAUGUAACCUUAGGGUCAAUGUUCUGAGAGUGGUCUCCAGCAAGUGCUUCUCUGCUAACUUUGAGCAAAACCCUUCGUCAUUUAAAUGAUGACCUGCUACUUUCGUUCAUUGAGAGUCUCAAGUGAGACAUGGACGGAAUCUUGGACUUCCUGCCAACAAAUUUUAUUUAUUUUAACCAUAACAAACAGUUAUUAUUAUUAUUAUUAUCGUCUUAGUUCCACAGAAGCAUUUCUACAAACAGCUUGUUAGAAGAAGAGAAACAAACUUGAAAUUGAUGGGCUCAGGCGAAGCGGCCAUUUCAGAAUAAGAGGAGCGAAUGGCGAGACUGGUGGUGUGGGAGGUUGAAUAGAAAAUUAAUUCACAGAAAUUUGAAUAUUAAGGAAAUAACAAGAAACCCUAAACAAUCAAAUGAAGUAGAUGAUGCUCCACAAUGGCAUUCAUGCAUCCACAUUCCCAUUGAUGAAGGCCUCUCUUAGCUAUAAAAAAAUGAACACUUAGUUUCCUGCUUUAUACAAAACUGUCAAAAUUACACGAGCAUGGAUUAAAACAUAAAAAUUAAAAAUAAAAUUCUAUUUCGUCGCGGUAGCCUGAUAACGUUUAAUUUGCAGUCCCAGUGGGAGGUUCUGGUGAGCACGGUGUCGAACACGCUGAAGGCGAUGAGGAGAGGGGUGCAUCCGAUCCAAAACAUGGCGUGUGCCCAAUUAAAUGAAAAAUUACAGUUGGACAAAAUAUGAAAAUAUGUGACUGCUUUGAAUUAAGAUAUCCUUACAACUUCAGCUAAAACUAAGGUUGUGAAAAUUUGAUCCAACCCACUUGUUCAAUUGGUUAAAUCGAGAAUUAAUCUGUUAUGCAGUUUUUAAUAAUCCUUAAAACAAGAAAAUAAUCAUUAAACAGAUGUAAAACUAGGGUGUUAAAAAAAAAACUGAUUUAGAUUGGAUUAGAUUGUAGCGGAAUUUGAAUUGUUUUUUUUAACUAGUUUAAAAAAAAAGACGGUACUAUCUUAUAAAAUCAAGUUAGUUAACUCGAUUGUUUGUAUAAGAUCAGUUUCGUUAAUCGAAUUAAUUUUUAUUUAAAUAUUUUUUUAUUUGAAAAAAUAACUCAAAAUUAAUUUGAAAAUCAGUUCAAAAUUAGUUUGUUUGUUAAAAUUAAUUUAAAACUGGUUAAAAAUUAGUUCAGAUAAUAAUUCAUUUUUUAAAAUCAAUUUAAUUUUGUACCCGUUUUUAAAUCAAUUUGUAUAUUUAAAUAUAAAAUUGAACCGAAUAUAAAAUUGAACAGAUUGAAACAGUACACUGAUGCAAGAAAAGUAGAAACUUUGACUAAAGUUAUAAAAAGAGAAGGGGAUUGAAGGAGACAAACGAAACUCCUAUGAUCAAAGGCAAAUUUAUUAAAUAGUGAUUUAAUAUAUUUAAAAAGGUAAAUUUAUUAAAUAAAAUAUUAUAAAAUUUUAAUAUGUUAAAUAAAAUAUUAUAAUAAAUAAAUAUACUAUGAACAAAGUCAUUAAAGGUAAUGAAAAAUAUAUUUACGUUACUUUAUUAUUGUUUUUAUAUUGAUAAAAAAAUAUAUAUUAUAUAUUGUGUUGUUGAAAUUUAAUAUUACAAUUUUUAUAUCUUGAUUUUUAUAAUUGUAUAUUAUACUAAUUUUUCUUUUUUACUCAAAAUACAAAUCUGUUAUUGUUAAUGAACAUUAUUGUAUUUUAUUAAAAACUUAAAUAUUAUGGUAUGUUUUAUUAGACUUUUAAGUAUAUUUUGAAUGUUAAAGAACUUAUAAAGUUAUGUCAAAUUAUAUUUAUUUAGUAUUAUUGCAUAAACUUUUUAAUUAUUAAUAUUGGUUUAACCACGGUUCAACUAUGGUUGAACCUUUGAAUCAGUGUCUUAAUUGUUUAAUGAUCAAUUUGAUUUUAAAAAUAUUGGUUAAAACAUAAAUCUUAUAACUCAAUUAAAAACUCAAUAUACUCACUUCUAGAGCACAUUAAGGUUGGGAGCAAUUGUUCAAGAUGGACUAGGCUUCAAAUCCAAUUUGCAUAAUUGCCCACCUUAAUAUGUAGAAAUCAUAAAUCUUAGAAUUUGCAUAACAAAGCAUAUCAUAACAAUAGUCAAUUCACCAAUCGUCAUAUGAAGAUUCAAUCAUCAUACACCGUCGUUAGUCAAUCAAUCAUCAUCAUCAUGAUUUAUCCAUCAAACAUCAUCAUCACCUGUCCAUCAAUCAUCGACACCAAAGACAAAUUCAACUCCAUGAAGAUUUCACCUUUGAGCAAUUAACCCCAAAGUACUUCUCUUAACAUAGUCACACGGUAUGAUAUGACCAUUUUGGGAGACUUGAAUUAACCUUGUAAAAGAUAUAUGGUUUUAUCGAAAAUGAAUGAAUGUAGGUAGUGACUUACCUCGAUAAGGCUUGCAAAAACCUUAACCUACCAAAUGAUUAGUGAAUUUUAGCUAUGAUUCAGCCCACUAAUCCAAAAUCAAGUCCAAGAUUCUCCACUAAGUGUGCUUAGAUGUCAUGAGACAUGUAAAGCAUGAAGGACAUGCACAAAGUGUGACUAUAUGAUGUGACAAUGGGGUGUAACAAGAAAAUGCUCACCUCCCCCUCUAAAAUUUAAUUGGAUUGGGCUUCUCCCAACUCAAUUAAAUUUUAUCUCCCAAUACACACAUCAAAUAUUCACUUAAUGCAUGUAAAAUUACAAAACUAUCCCUAAUACAAAAACUAGUCUUGGUGUCCUAAAAUACAAGGGCUGAAAAAUCCUACAUUACUGGAGUACCCUACUUACAUUAUGAAGCUCUAAAUACAAGACCCAAAAAUAAUAAAAUUCUAAUCUAAUAUGUACAAAGAUAAGUGGGCUCAUACUUAGCCUAUGAGCCCAAAAUCUACCCUAAGGCUCAUGAGAACCCUAGGGUCUUCUCUUGCCUUUCUGGUUGAAUCUUCUUCGAGUCUUCUAUCCAAUGCCCUUGGGGGUAGGAUUGCAUCAUUCAUGAUGUAGCUUCAUGUGGAGCUUGUAGGCCUUGGAUCUUCUUCAUCAAUGGAGUCCUUUGCUUCUUAAAGAUCAAUGAUAGCGGAAUGGAGAAGGAAGAAAGAUGAUAGGAGAUGCUACUUCAAGGAGAAGAUGUGUCAAGAACAAGUUCACCACCAUAGGAAGCCAUGGAUAAGAGCCUGACUGUAGGAGAAGAUGAGUGGAGGGAGAAUGAGAGAAAGAGCAUGAAAUUUUAUGCCUCAAAUGAGGUCUGAACUUUAAAGUGUAAUUCCAAAUGAUCAAAGUUGAAAAAUGCACACACAAGACCUCUAUUUAUUGCCUAAGUGUCACACAAAAAUUGGAGGGAAAUUUGAAUUCUAUUCAAAUUUCACUUGAAUUUGAAUUUGAAUUUGUGGAGCCAAAUUUAGAGCCAAAAUUUCACUAAUUAUGAUUAGUGAAUUUUAGAUAUGGUUCAGCCCACUAAUCCAAGAUCAAGUCCAAGAUUCUCCACUAAGUGUGCAUAGGUGUCAUGAGUCAUGUAAAGCAUGAAGGACAUGCACAAAGUGUGACGAUAUGAUGUGGCAAUGGUGUGUAGCAAGCAAAUGCUCACCUCCCCCUGUUGUUCAACCUUCAUUUCCCAAUCUAGGUAGGCCUCAACAUUAUCUUUUCCGUGGAAAUAUGGGAGGCUAAUGUUAACCUCUUGAGGCCUUCUAUCCUUUUCUCUUCUUUGGGAGUAAUGUUUAGUAUGUGACCUAUGGAGCCCUCUAUAAUAGUCACUAAGUUCUUCACUUAAAUUUUUAACAGAGUCAUGACUACUAAAGAAGGCAUAUUUUUCUCUUUUCAUUUCUUUCAUUAUUUUUCUUCUUUCUUCCUCUCUUUCUUUCAUCUUGACUUAUUUCUUCCACUCUUUUUUUCCUUUUUCUUUUUUCUCUUGUUUUUCUUUCCAUAAUUUAAGGGAUCUCAACUCAUCUAAUAUCUUAUACAAGGGGUCCUUAGGAUUAGAACCCUCACCAUUAACACUAGAUGAAGAAUGAAUACUCAUGUUGGUUCCUAAGUUGUGGUUCUUUGUUGUUGGGGGUUUGAAAACAAAAGGUGAUGCAAUCCUAUCCCGCAAAGGCAUUGGGUAGAAGACUCCAAGUAGAUUAGGCUAGAGAUCCAAGGGAAGGCCCUAGGGUUCUCAUGAGCCUUAGGGUAGAUUUCAAGCCCAUGGGCUAAGUAUGAGCCCGCUUAUCUUUGUAAAUAUUAGAAUAGGUUUUUCCUUUGUUUGGGCCUUGUAUUUUGGCCAUUCUAGUAGUAUAGGGUUUUAGCCUUGUAUUUCGGGGCAUUUUGAGUAGUCUUUGUAGUAAGGACUUUUUUUUUGUAUUUUCAUGUUUUUUGUCAUGGGGGUGAGUUUGGCUAUUAUAGGGGGUGUGUAGCUAAGCUCUAGCUUCUCAUCUCAAGGAGGUGAGCUUAGCUAUUAGAGAGGUAUGUGUAGCUAAGCUCUAACUUCUUUAGGAAUCUUCUUAAGGAAGCUCCUCAAGGAGGUGAGCUUAGUUAUGAGAGGGGUGUGUGUAGCUAAGCUCUUGCUUCUCAAGGAAGUUUUCUCAAAGAAGCUUCUCAAGGAAGUUUUCUUAAGAAAGCUUCUCAAGGAAGCUACCUAGUCUAUAAAUAGAAGUAUGUGUAACACUUGUUGUAACUUUGAUGAAUGAGAGUCUUGUGAGACACAACUCAAAGUUCAACUUCUCUCCCUUUUUUUUCCUUCAAUUUCGUGCUCCCCCCUCUCUCUUUCUCUCCCUCUUUCUUUUCCUCCAUUGAAGCACCCUCUCUAAGCUUCUUAUCCAAGGCUCAUCUUGGUGGUGAAGCUCCUUCUUCCAUGGCUUAUUCCUUAGUGGAUGGCGCCUCCUCUCACCUCUUCUCCUUUGUCUUCCGCUGCAUCUCCAUGAUGGAAAAUCACCAUUAAAGGACCUCAUUGAAGCUCAAAGAUCCAGCCUCCAUAGAAGCUCCACAAGCAAGCUUCCAUCAAAAGGUAAAAGAAACUAUGGUUGAAACUAGUCAAAAUAAACACUAAAAGAGGUGUGAAAGAUAAGGUAAAAACUAAUUGGUAAAAGGAAAGCUAUCUAGGCGGUUUGACAAUGGAAGGUAAAGGAAAUUUAAAGCAAGCUAGACGGUUUCCUAUGUGAAGGCUUGGAUGACCCUUUGGAGGUCCCAACUAGCUCUUCACUUAGUCUACAUAGUUUACACUAAGCUAUUACACAAAAAUAGAGGUUUGGGCGAUCUCUUAGAGACUCCCAAUACACCCCUGAGGAAUGUCCAAAUACAAGGAAUUGCAAAAGAAAAAAUAAUUCAGCACUCAAUUGUUCUAUUACAACAAAUUUAACAAAGCAAUCAAGGUCUUCAAAUUGGUCUUCAAUGCUUGUUUGUUUUCUCAAGUGUUUCACUGAAAAUUUGGUGAGGCUUUGGUUGCUUCAAAUCCAAUGGUGCUCCUAAGAUGGUUAACCUCAAAGACUAAAAAAUAUUCCUUCAAGCACCGCACAAUUUCCUCUUCCAAGUUGUAGGCAACACUUAAACACAAAAAAAAAAAAGACAAGCAAGAAACCAAAAGAUGAAACGAAAGCUAAACUAAAAGGAAAUUUAAUGUGACAUUAAUUCAAUGAGAUUCAAGAAAAAAAAAAUAAAGUAAUAGGAAAGCACCACAAGCCAAGGUGGAACACAAAGGAAGUCCUAGAAUGACACUAUAUUAGAUUGAAAAAUUAAAAACAAGACUCAAAGAAAAAUUCUAGUUAUGUCAAUUUAGCAACACAUCUAAAACAUGAACAACUCCAAGGAGUCAAAUAGGCUUGUAAUACAACUCAAAAUAAUGAACUAUGGAAAUACAAGAACAAGUGUAGAUCUAAGAUUUAAUCGGUUUUUUUUUAAAUCUAUUCCAAAUAGAACCAAACCACAAGACAAUGGAGGGGAUACAUGGAGAAUAAGAUGAAGAACAAGGAAUUGAAGUGAAUUGACCAAACAAAAAGAUAGAGGAAGCAAAAGAACAUCACCUAGAUGAAGAUGCUCUUGAUACCACAUGAUGUAGCUCCAUGUGGAGCUUGUAGGCCUUGGAUCUGCUUCAUCAAUGGAGUCCUUUGCUUCUUGAAGAUCAAUGACAGUGGAAUAGAGAAGGAAGAAAUAUGAUUUUCCACUUCAAGGAGAAGAUGAGUCAAGAACAAGCUCACCACCAUAGGAAGUUAUGGAUAAGAGCUUGAAGGUAGGAGAAGAUGAGUGGAGGGAGAAUGAGAGAAGGAACACAAAAUUUUAUCCUCAAAUGAGGUCUGAACUUUGAAGUGUAAUUCUCAAAUGAUCAAAGUUGAAAAAAAUUCACAUACAAGACCUCUAUUUAUAGCCUAAGUGUCACACAAAAAUUUGAGGGAAAUUUGAAUUCUAUUCAAAUUUCACUUGAAUUGGAAUUUGAAUUUGUGGAGCCAAAUUUGGAGCCAAAAUUUCAAUAAUUAUGAUUAGUUAAUUUUAGCUAUGGUUCAGUCCACUAAUCCAAGAUCAAGUCCAAGAUUCUCCACUAAGUGUGCUUAGGUGUCACGAGUCAUGUAAAGCAUAAAGGACAUGCACAAAGUGUGACUAUAUGAUGUGACAAUGGGGUGUAGCAAGCAAAUGCUCUCCUCCCCCUUAGGAUGGUCCAAAACUUAAUUGGAUUGGGUUUCUCCAAUUCAAUUAAAUUUCUCUCCAACACACACACACACACAUCAAAUAGUGCACUUAAUUCAUAUGAAAUUACAAAACUACCCCUAAUACAAAAACUAGUCUAGGUGCCCAAAAAUACAAGGGUUGAAAAAUCCUACAUUACUAGGGUACCCUCCCUAUACUAUGGAGUCCUAAAUACAAGGCCAAAAAUAAUGAAAUCCUAAUCUAAUAUGUACAAAGAUAAGUGGGCUCAUACUUAGCCCAUGGGCCCAAAAAUCUAUCCUAUGGCUCAUGAGAACCCUAGGGUCUUCUCCUACAUCUCUGGCCCAAUCUUCUUGGAGUCUCCUAGCCAUGGCGUUGGUGGGUCCCCUCCUUGGGAGGAUUGCAUCAAGAUUUUUGCAUCUAUCCAUUCUAUAUGCUUAUUCUCGUUAGCCAUCAUAGACAACCUCCCACACUAAGUUGAGAGCCCACCCAAAACCCCCAACUUACGUGCCUACUCAAAACAACAAUAUCUAAACUUGGAUUCCUUGAGGUUUAAGAUUUGAUACCUUUGUAUCCACCUUCUCAAUCAUGGUCAAUCUCAAAUAUCCAAGUUUCACCAUCAACAACAACUCAUCCUAUAUACACUAAAAAUUCACUAAACCUCUUGGGAAGUAGUUCUCAACAUUCUGACAUGCCAUUUAGAGUUAAAACAUAUGAGUGGUACUCAGGAAGAUACCCCACUAGACAAGAACCCCCGGGUCAUUUUAGUAAGGCGGAGUUCUGAAUGGAACUUACCCUCCCAAGUAUACUAUUUUCCAAUAACAACAAAAUCUUCCCGAUGGAUAUAGUUAACUCCUUUUCACACAUAUGGAUGGUUCUCAAAACAAGAUCAUCAUCCACAACAAUCAUACAUCAUCUUUCAUUAUCACUAGAUUUACCUCAUCAAAAUAUUCAUAUCAUUAUCAAGAAAUCAACUAACCCAACUCAAUAGAUUCAUCAAUUAUCAUAAUUAUCUAAUCAUCAAUAUAAUAUUCUCAACAUGACCAAUUAACAAUAAUAAAAUCAUAGACCAAACUAGACACAGUAAAUAUGUAUCACUUUACCAUUAUAACAACUGUAUACUUCACGUUUAUGGUUAUUAAAGAAUUUCAUAAGUUUUGGGUUACUAUCUUCUUCAUUUUCUGUUCUACACCUAUGACCUUCAUUGCUUAUAAAUAUGAUAAAUAAUGAUAUACUAGCUCAAUUAAGUUGAUUCAUGUCUCAUUAGAUAUCUAAGAAGAUUAUUUCCAACUUUUAUGUUUACCCAAUUUACAUGAAACUUUUACUUAUAAUCGACAAUGUGACUUGUCCACUAAUUUAAUCAGUUCUAGAGUUAUACUUAACAAUUUUAAGUGAAAUGAAAGUCAUUAGUUAGCUAACAUUUAGGGCUACAACUUUAAUGAAGAUACUUUUCCAAAAUCAGACUUUAUAACCAACUUUUUACCAUUGUAAUCUAUUACAACUCAUUGUAAUUGAUUAUAAUAGAGCUCUGGUAAACAAAAUAGUCCAUAAACUCUAACUAAUCAAUUACAAACCUAUGUAAUCGAUUACAAUCAGCCUAGAAUCCAGAAUCAACCUCUGGAGCUCAUUUUAAUCAAUUACUACAUGAUAUAAUCAGUUACAAUGGUUUAAAACUGCAAAAAGUUAUGAUUUUUAAGCCAUAACAUAAUUUUUCAUCAAAACAAAAUCAUUCCUUUCCAUCCAAAAUAUUUAACAAGGUGUGUUUAUGAGGUUGGUUUAGAUUAUGCAGGAAUUUUGGGAAGUUUUACAACUCUUCCUUCUCUUUGCACCCUACAACUCACUAAACUCACCCACCCCAUUCCCAUCACUCAAUGUCACUCACCUAGGCCCAAAUCCUCUAAGCACCAACUAAUCAAAGAUGGAACAUCGUUUAAGCAUAAACAUAAAUAUAUAUAGACACCACAAACCAUCACCUUAUAAUUAAUUAAUUAUAGACACUUAAAUUAAAUUUAAUUAUUAUUGCAAUCCAAUUAAAACAAUUAAUCAAACAUUAUAAAAAUUGCAAUGCUACAUGAUUCCUAUAAUAUACUUGUGAACAAUAAAGUACACCUUGGUCCAGAGUAAAGUUAUUCAUUUGUUAAACCAAAAUAAGGUAAUAAUACCUCUGUGAGGUCUUGGGCCUUGUGCUAGGAAAUUUAACCCAUUCUAGACUGUUAUAAAUACAACUAAUGUCAUUGCAUGAGGUAAUCAUUUAUCAUAUGUUGUCACUUUAGUAAAAUUGUUACUAACUUGAGCAAUGAGGUACAUUUGCAAGUACUCACAUGUUCAUGACAUCUCAGUUGUGUUAGAGUAUAAUACUAUCACAAGAAAGGUUAGGAAGACUCUCUAUAAUACUCCUCUACUUCCUUUUGUACACUUCGGAUUUUGGACAACAAGGAAUGCACACUGGUUAGAGAAAUUGUAGAAUUCAAUCAUCGAAUUCAACCAUCCUACCUCAGUCACAACAUGACAACAACAUCAUUAUUUCACACAAUGGGUUACAUAGAUUGCCCAUGAAUGAUGGCCUUUUAGAGUUACUGCUUGCUACCACCAUUUCACACGUCUAGCAAUUAUCUUUGAUACCAAUUUUGUGUAACCAAGGGGGAUUGACACCAAGAAAAUUUUCAACAAUGGACCACGAGCACAUAAGUGAAGUUGACACAACCUUUUAAUCGAGAACCUCCAAAUGAAUAAAAUAUAAAUGAUAAAAUAGAAAAUUUAAAAUAUAAAUGUAAUAUUAAUGAAAUAUUAAUAUUCCAUUAAGACUAUUUUUUUCUAUUUCAAAUAUUAGAAAUUCUAUUAUUAUUAUUAUCAUGUUAUAAGUUAUAAUUGUUAUAAUUAUUUAUAACAAAAAUUCUUUAAAUAUAUAAAUUUUAUUAAGACAUUUGAUUUAUAAGUUUCUUCACUUAUAUGUUGUUCAACUUGUUGAUUCCUAUUUAAUAUAAGACUUUACCUUCACACACUUAUGGUGAUGGAAGUUAUUCUAACUCUAUAUAACUCAGCUUCAAUUUAUGUGUCUAGCUAGCAUCUAUUAUUGAAUAAUGGAGCAAGUAGCAACUUUACAUAAAGGUUAUCAUACCUGUUGGAAGUCGAUGUUCACUCUCAAAUGAUUUGUCUCGAUUAGCCAAAAUCAUGCAGUAGGAAAGGAACUACCUAUGUCAUGGGUCAAAUAUUAUUAGACAAGGGCCUAGAUAGUCAUGUUUAAUAUAAUAGGGAAAUGAAUUGUUUUAAUGUGAGGGAAAUAGUGGGGUCAAUGAGAUUCUGACAUGUAACAUUGAUGAACACUGACAGAGUUAUCUUUCUUAUCUUGUAUUGCGUUUGAGUACAUUAUACUCAAUUUUCAAUAAAUUUCUUCAAAUCGCUUUAUAAUCAUUAUGCUACCUUUACACGCAUUACUGCGUAUACAGUCAAAAUGAUAUGAAUGUUCGGCUAGCCACGUUGUUUUUGAACCUUCCUAAGUUCGACAUGGUUUUCUUCUAUAGAACUUCUAUAUAGUAUACAAAAUAUGUUAGGAAUUUUGGGUCAUUCAUAUAUAUAUAUAUAUAUCACAUAAUUGAAUGAGUUAGGGCCAUUAUUUUAUUAGCCAACAUAUUAAAGUGGUCUAAUCAAUAUAAAAUUAUGGCUAAGGGCAUAUAUGUCAUGAAAGACUAAUUGUGUAGAUACCAUUAGUGAUAUUAUAAUUUGAUGAGGGACCAAAUUAUAAUCAUCAAAUUUGGGGUAAUGGAUGACAAUUACCAAUAUAAGAGGUUAUGGGCCCCAUUUGUAGAGAGAAGUGACGAAACCUACAUUUUUGCUUUCUUUUUUCUCUUUAUCCCCAUCAGAAGAGAAAAUUUAGAGAAGAAAAUAAAGCUCUCUACAUUUUUAAGAUCAUAAAAUAAAUCUUGAUCCUCAUCAACCAUUCAUCACUUCAUUAUGGCUAAUCCAGAUACGCUUCCGCAUUUAGUUUUUAUCAUGAUUUUGAGUAUGAGAACACAAUAGGGUUUUAUUCAUCUUUAUGCAGUCAUUUCUCUCUACAUAGAUAGAAAGCAUGUGGUUAGGAUUCAUGAUUGUCUGUUAGAUUCAAAUUAGGUUGAUUGAUUGAAUCCCUACAAUUGGUAUCAGAGCCACCCAUACUUGAUUCAUGUAUGAUUUUGGAAAUUUUAUUUAUUCAGGCUACUGACAUAUUCUAAAUUUUAAAUGAAUUUAGAUAUUUUACAUAUUUUUGCUUGAUCUUACCAACAAUAUGUAAAUGCACCGCUCAUUUAAAGGUUACAGUGCAUCAUUUAUAUAUAUACAUAUAACUUUGUGCUCGUUCUUACUUUUAGAGGCCGUUACAGUAAAUUAAAAUAACAAUCAUGGGCUUCUAAAAUUUAAAAUAAAUAAAUAAAGUUAAAAUAAUUUACUCUAGAAAUGUUUUAAUUUUGGAUUUGGUGCAUCAAUGUUCAAAAUUUAGUUAUGGUAUAUCAUUUUAAUUGUUUAGCAUUUAAAUGAGCUAAUUGAAUCAAUAUAUCACCAAAGUGAUCUCUCUUGUGUAGAUAGUUCAUGAGAAAUGUUAACGUGUGUAAUUAUUUAUAUAAAUGGUGAUUGGCCCAAAGGAAAGUUACUAUUUAACUAAUUUAAAUACACACUUGUGAUGUUAAACAUAUUAUAAUUAUGAGGUUUUGCAUGUGAAUGAUAAGUCACAUCAAAAGAUGGGUUUGUUAUUUUAUAUGCUUUUAUUAUCAAUGUUUGAACAUUACAACAAGGAUAUCACUAGCAAUUAAUACCAUUGUCCAAAGACUUGAUAUUAAUGGUGUACUAGAUACCUUGGGAUGGGAUAUACCAUUAUUUAAAUGCAUUGAUGACUGUUAUGUGAGCUUAUUGUAUUAUUUGUUUUGAUCUUUUCAAUUGUUGCUUCUAUAUUUGCUAAUUUGAAUUCGAUUCCGGUUCUUAAUGGUACAAAUUUUAAGGACUAGAAAGAGAACAUGAAAAUUGUACUUGGCUGCAUGGAUCUAGACCUUUCAUUAAGGAUUGAGAAACCCCAUUCUCCUACGGAUUCUAGUACCUCUGCACAGAGGAAACUUCAUGAGAAGUGGGAUCACUCAAAUCGCAUGAGUCUUAUGAUCAUUAAGUGCGGCAUUUCUAAGGUCUUUUAGGGCACUAUUUUAGAUGAUAUAACUAGUGCCAAAAAAUUCCUUGUUGAAAUUGAAAAUUGUUUUGCAAAAAGCAAUGAGGCGGAAAUUAAACAAGUACUCUUCUUCAGAACUUAAUUUCCAUGAAGUAUCAAGGCAAAUGAAAUGUCAGGGAAUACCUUAUGGGAAUGUCAAAUAUUGCUUCAAAAUUAAGGACACUAAAGCUUGAGCUUUUAGAAGACUUGCUUCUUCAUUUAGUGCUAAUUUCUCUACCUUCACAAUUUAGUCAGUUUAAGAUCUCUUAUAGCUGUCAGAAGGUCUCUUAAUGAGCUCAUUUCAUACUGUGUGCAAGAAGAGGAAAGACUGAAGCAAGAAAGGACUAAAAGUGCUCAUGUUGUAAGUACUUCUAAAGACAAGGGCCAAAGAAAAAGGACUGAGGAGCCCAAGAAUGAAACUACCAAGGGUCCAACACAAAAGAAACAAAAUCAAGGUGACAACUGUUUCUUUUGUAGUAAGCCUAGACAUGUAAAGAAGAAAUGUACCAAAUAUCAUUCUUGGUGUGCAAAGAAGGAUAUGUUUCUUACUUUGGUCUAUUUUGAGGUCAAUUUAGCUUCAAUACCUAGAAACACUUGGUGGUUAGAUUCUGGUGCCACUACUAACAUCAAUGUUUCGAUGAAGGGUUGCCUAAGCUACUGGAAGCCAAUUGAUUCUGAAAGAUAGAUAUAUGUUGGAAAUGGUAAAUCGAUAGAGGUGGAAGCUAUAAGGCACUUUAUUAUUAUUAUGUACUGGUUUUUAUUUGGAUUUGAAAGACACUUUUGUUGUACCGUUAUUUAGAUGAAAUUUGGUUUCAGUUUCUUAUUUGGACAAAUUAGGUUAUUUGUGUUCAUCUGGAAACAAAGUGUUUAGGUUGUAUUUUAAUUCAAAUAUUGUUGGAGCUGGUUCACUCUUGGCUUAUGAUAAUCUAUAUUUACUUGAUAUUGUAGCUUCCUAUGGUGAAUCCUUUAAUGUGGAAUUGCGUGAUACAAAGCGUAGAAUUGAUAAUACAAGAGCAUUAUAGCAUAAGCGCUUAGGUCACAUUUCUAAGAAUAGAAUUGAACGACUUCUGUCAAACAUAAUCUUGGAUUCCAUUGAUUUCACAAGCUUUGAUGUUUGUGUUGAAUGCAUUAAAGUUAAAUAGACCAAAAGCAAGAAAUUAGGUGCAUAUAGAGAUACAAACGCCUUGGAAUUGAUGCAUACAGACAUUUGUGGGCCAUUUCAUACACCUUUAUGGAAUGGUCAACAAUAUUUUAUAUCAUUCAUAAACGAUUACUCCAGAUAUGCAUACAUGUUUCUUAUACAUGAAAAGUCACAAUCUCUGGAUGUGUUCAAAACAUUUAAUGUUGAAGUUGAAAAUCAUCUCAACAAAAGAAUUAAGAGUGUUAGAUCUGACUGUGGUGGUGAAUACUAUGGUAGAUAUGACGGUUCAGGUGAACAACAUUCGGGGCCUUUUGCUAGGCACCUAGAGGAAUGUGGAAUCAUUCCAUAGUACACCAUUCCAGGGUCACCUAGCGUGAAUGAUGUGGCUAAAAGAUGAAAUAGAACUCUUAAGGAUAUGGUAAGAAGUAUAAUUUGUCAUUCUAACUUACCAGAGUCACUCUGGGGAGAGACACUAAAGAUUGUAGCUUACAUUCUAAAUAGAGUGUCAACCAAGGCAGCUACUAAAACACCUUGUCAGCUUUGGGUUGGGUGAAAGCCUAGUCUGAAACAUUUUCAUGUAUGGGGAUGUCUAGCCGAGGCAAGACCUUAUAAGCCAAAUGAAAGGAAAUUGGACUCCCGAACAGUAAGCAACUACUUUAUUGGCUAUUCUAAAAGAUCCAGGGGCUAUAAAUUUUAUGAUACCAAAUUAAAGAUAAUUUGUUAUCGUUCAUGAAGAACAAACUCAAGAUCCUCAAGAACCUAUGCUUCAUGAGCUAGUACCUUUGCAGGGAUCUACAUGAGAAAGGAGAAGUGCCAUUCUAGAUGAUUAUGCGGUAUUUCUCCAGGAACAUGAGGAAAAUAAUGGAAUGAUGGAAGAUGGCCCAGUCAAUUUCCAUCAAGCCAUGCAAGAUUCCAACUCAUAAAAGUGGAUUGAAUGAAUGAGGAGAAUAAGUCGAUGCAAGACUACAAGGUUUGGGAACUUGUCCCAUUACCAGAAGGUGUGAAACCCAUUGGUUGCAAAUGGAUGUUUAAGAUCAAACAGGAUUCCAAAGGUAAUGUGGAGAGGUAUAAGGCUCGUCUUGUGGUGAAGGGCUAUACUCAAAAGGAAGGGAUUGACUUUAAAGAGACUUUCUCUCCAGUUUCAUCGAAAAAAAAUUUUAGGACAAUCAUGGAUCUUGUUGCACAUUAUGAUUUGGAGUUUCAUCAAAUGGAUGUUAAGAUGACAUUUCUCAGUGGCAACAUUGAUGAGACAAUUUAUAUGGGGCAACCAGAAAACUUUGUGUCAGGAGACCCAAAGAAUAUGGUUUGCAAACUGACAAAAUCCAUUUAUGAGCUAAAACAUGCAUCUGGUCAAUGGUACCACAAAUUUCAUCAAGUAAUUCUCUCAUUUGGUUUCGAGAUGAAUCUUGUUGAUGAUUGUGUGUAUCACAAAUUCAGUGGGAGCAAGUAUAUUUUCUUGGUCUUAUAUGUUGAUGACAUACUGCUUGCCACUAAUGAUAUAUGCAUGUUGCACAAAACCAAGACAUUUAUAUAAAAAAACUUUGAAAUGAAAGAUCUUGGUGACGCCUGCUUUGUAUUAGGAAUUUAGAUACAUCGAGAUCGAUCUCGGGGUAUUCUAGGAUUAUCACAAAUAAGCUAUAUCGAAAAGGUACUUAAAAGGUUUAGCAUGCUGGAAUGUAAAUUCGGGGAUACUCCAGUUGCUAAGGGAGACAAGUUUAGUCUCAAACAGUGCACAAAAGAAAAAUUGGAAAUUCAGGAAAUGCAAAAGAUUCCCUAUGCAUCAGUUGUAGGGAGUUUGAUGUAUGCCCAAGUAUGUACGUGUCCGGAUAUAACAUACAUAGUUGGGGUAUUAGGCAGAUAUUUAAGCAAUCCAGGAAUAGAUCAUUGGAAAGCAGCCAAAAGAGUUAUGAGGUAUUUGAAGAGAACAAAGUAUUAUAUGCUCACAUACAAGAGGUCAGAUCAGUUGAAGAUCACUAGGUAUUCUGACUUGGAUUUUACAGGAUGCCUAGAUAGUUUGAGAUCCACUUUGGGUUACUUUUUCAUGUUAGUCGAUGGUGCGGUUUCUUGGCGUAGUGCCAAGCAAACCCUUAGUACUUCAUCCACUAUGGUGGCAGAAUUUGUGGCAUGCUAUGAGGCAUCAAAUCAUGGAAUAUGGUUGAGAAAUUUUGUCACAAGGCUGCAAAUUGUGGAAGGAAUUGAAAGACCACUUAAGUUAUAUUAUGACAACAAAUAAGUUGUAUUGUAUUCUAACAAUAAUAGGAGCUCAACCAAGUCGAAACAUAUUGACAUCAAGUUCCUAGUUGUUAAGGAAAGGGUAUAGAGUGAACAAAUUUCCAUAGAACACUUAGGGACAAACUUCAUGAUAGCAGAUCCUCUUACUAAGGGACUUCCACCCAAGGUCUUUCAUGAGCAUGUUGAUCACAUAGGUGUUUUACAGUUCGAGGAAUCUUUGGUUUAGUGGGAGUUAGUCACUUUUAUGUUAUAUGUUAGAUUUUAUGUAUGCAUACAUUAACUUUUGGAUAUAUUUGGUUAUAUAUAUGUUUUAUUAUUCAGUUAUUACACUUUGUACAUUAAGGUUAUUAAAUGAUCUCAUUAAGGCAAAGUAGGACCAGUUGAAAAUAGAUGUGUACAGGUCACCUUCACGUAAUUUUCAUGCUACACAUUUCAUGAUGAGUCUAUGUCAUUUGAUUCUGUCAGCAUUAGUGAUCAUUGAUGAAUUUAGUUGUGAUUGAUACAAUGAAAACUACUUUGGUUCUAUGUGCGGAUAUAAUAAAUGUACAAGAUUUUUGAAAUAUGCUCAAGGCAUGUAAUGACAAAUUUUAAGCUCUUAAAGUCUAACACAUUCAUAAGGAUUCUAAGGAUACACGCACACACACACACACACACACCCAUUAAAGUGGUCUAAUCAAUAUAAAAUUAUAGCUAAAGACAUAUGUGUCAUGAAAGACUAAUUGUGUAGAUACCAUUAGUGAUAUUAUAAUUUGAUGAGGGGUCAAUCUUGAUCCUCAUCAACCAUUCAUCACUCCAUUAUGGCUAAUCUAGGUACGCUUCCGCAUUUAAUUUUCAUCAUGAUUUUGAGUAUGGAAACAUAAUGGGAUUUUAUUAAUCUUUAUGCAGUAAUUUCUCUCUACAUGGAUAAAAAACAUGUGGUUAGGAUUGAUGAUUGUCUGUUAAAAUCAAAUUAAGUUGAUUGAUUGAAUCCCUACAAAAUAAUCUUGCACGAAAAUAUGACGUGCCUCCUUUAAAGAAUAACACAAAAGAUGAUGAUACUUGGACAACUCAUUGUAUUGAACACUUGACGCAUGAUUUCGAAUCUCACUGCUGAAGAUCUUGUUAACGAAUAAUAUAUAAGUAUAUCUAUAAAUGUUUAUUGAGUCUUGAGGUAUGUCGUAAUUGUAAUGAGUCUUUGAGAUUCAACUUACCUAAAUUUAUUCUACAAAAAAUAAAAUAAAAACAGUACAUUACCUUUCAUUUUAUUUACCUUUCUUCAUAUUUAAUGGUAUCACCUAUAAUAUGCAUACUUUUCAAUCUUUUUUAUUUUGUCUCUCUUUAAGUGUUACCUAGCAUUUUGGGUGUUCAUCAAUAUUGUCUCCACGCAUAUUCUUACGUUGUGUUUGAUGGAAACAAGUUACUAAAUAAUAACUAAUGAGAUACAUUCAUAUCUUUCGUAGUAUCAACUUGUGUCAUCCAGCAUUCCUCUUCUCCAAAUCACCCAAAAAGAAAAGCAACAACUAAUUUGGAAGGCUCAUUCAAUGGAGACUAGAGUCUAGAGCAUCCAUUAUCACAGCAACAAUGACGGUGUUAAACUAUAUUGACCUCUUUAAACGUACGUUCAAGAUGCAACCACCCAGAUAAUAAUCCCUAAACCAAAAACUAUUAUAAAUAAAGGGAAUAUGGAACAAGAGUAUCUCAAGCCUGCAGAUAUUUCCCUUUUGAGCUUUGAUUAGUGUGGCCUAGUUGUUGUUUUCUCAUGAAAAAGGCUUCCGCUAUGCAUUGCGCACUUUUGCGCUUCUGGGUUCCCUUGUUGCUGCUUGCCAGCUUCAGUUUUGCUCCUUCUGUUUUGGCCAAAGCUGAAAUUUCAGGUUUGUGCAUGGCUCAUGCUAUACUGACACACAUUUUUUUUUGUUAGGCUUUUAUUUUAGAAAAUAUGCAGUAUGUUUCUUUGUGUCUAUUCUUAUUAAGUUUUAUUCAUUUUAAUAAUUACGUUUAAAAGAAAAAGUAGAAUUUGUAAUUAUAUGGACUAAUUUCAAAUUUCAAAAGGUGACGUACGAAGAUUGGAUCCAUACUUGACAUGCAUAUAAUUAGGGCAUUCCUCGUGGCAUGUGAGAUGAAAAACUAUUCAUGAACUGUAUGUACGUCGGUAUAGCCUAUGUUUUAAUGAAAAUAAAAUGGUACUUUUAGUUGUUCUCUUACUGAUAUUAUUGUAUUCCGAAUUCAAUUCAAUUAUUUAUCUUGGCAUACAGUAUAUGCGUGAAAUUCAAUUAUUACAUUUCAUAUAGGGACUAGUAAGGACCACAUGAUUUUAGACUGUACAACAAUUUGAACCACUAAGAUGACGGUUGGAGUAAUAUGCACGAAGUUAGAGAUUUUUAUUUUUUGAAAAGGUGAGUUAAGGAAUGACAAAAUGAUAGGACAUUUCAACAAUGUUAACAUUUCCUAUCCCAAUCAUAACAAGCACACCUAAAAUUUAUAUUAAUUAAUAUCCACAAAAGAAGAAAAAACAUGAAAGCAUGAGGGACAACAACCAAAACCCAUACCAAAAAAAAUACAUCAAGUAAACAUAUAGUAAGGGUCCGUUGCAAGUUACAGAUUUAAACUUGUGCAACUGUUGUAAAAAAAAUAAAAUACUACACAAUAAUUUUCCAACUAGCUAGUUAAGGUCCUUUGCAAGUAGCAUAAUUAUAUGGUCUAACUAUGAUUGGCAAUGCAUUUUUCAUUUUAGUUUUGCAUAUAUAUAUAUAUAUAUAUAUAUAUAAAUAAAAAUUCAAUUAUUUGCAAUGCAUUGACAAAAUAUUUCAAAUUUUAUAUUUAUUACAAAUAUAUUAUUGUGUUUAACUUAUAUACUUUUUGCUUUUCUUUGUAGGGAAUGAAGUGAACACACAUGGGAAGGUUGUAAGUGAAGAGUUAACCAAAUCCAGUCUAAAAGAACAAAAUGAAGAGGAAAAAUUCAAAGGAUUCUUUCCAAAACCAAUUCCAAUUAUUAAACCUAUUUCAAAGCCCAUUCCCAUUAUUAAACCUAUUCCAAAGUCAAUUCCUAUUGUUAAACCUAUUCCUAUUCCAGUUUAUAAGCCUAUAUCAAAACCAAUUCCCAUCGUUAAGCCUAUUCCGAAGCCAUUUCUGAUUGUUAAACCAAUUCCUAAUGACGAAGAAAAAUUCAAAGGUGUUUUUCCAAAACCUAUUCCCAUAGUUAAGCCAAUUCCAAAGCCAAUUCCCAUUGUUAAGCCUAUCCCUAUUCCAAUAUAUAAGCCUAUACCAAAAUCAGUUCCCAUUGUGAAACCAAUUCCUAUUAUUAAACCAAUACUAAAGCCAAAUCCCAUUGUUAAGCCAAUUCCAAAGCUGAUUCCCAUUGUUAAGCCUAUACCAAACCCAUUAAGAGUGAAAAAGUCUAUCCCUGCUUUUGGGUCAGAGGAAUUUUUAAAACCAAAACCUUUCUUUGAAAAGCCUAUUCCUAAACUACCACUUGAUCCUAAAUUCAAGAAACCUCUUCUACCACCAUUGCCAAUUCACAAGCCAAUUCCAACCCCAUAAAAUGAUAACACUCUACGCCAUAAAGCUAUAAGGAUAUUCCUUCCGUUUCUAAUGCCUUUAUAUAUAUAAAUGCACCGCAUUAAUUUCAACCUGAAUCAUGAUUUCGAUAAUCCUUUCGUACCCCUCUUGUGUACUGGAUUGGAAUAUAUAUGUACUUGAUGUUUUCUAUGUAAUGAAGGUCUCAAUAUUAUUAUUUGUAAGAUUAAUUAUAUUAUUAAGAAAUGGUUCGCUUUUUUUGUUUUGUUUAAGUAAAAUGUUUAGUUAUCACUCCAAGAAAUUUCACUAUUAUCGAUAGGAAAAAUCCGCCGGUAUAUAUCACAAAUUUUUUGUCGGUAAUGAAAUUUUAACGACAAAAUACCGACGAACAAAAUCCCAUCAACAAUAACCUUAUAGGAAGCUUUUACUGACAGAUUUUAAUGACAAACUUUUUACCCACGGACUUUACUAACAGAUGUAUAUGUGGGAAAACAUCGACAUAUUUUUUCGUGGGAAAUUAUGACAGAUUUUCGUGGGAAAUUAUUGAUGGCUUUUUCUGUUAAAAAUUACCGACAAUUUUUUUUUGGGAAGUUACUGAUGGAUUUUGCCAUGAAAAGCUAUCAAGGGAGAUUUUUAAGUAAAAAAUUGCUGAUGAAUUUGUCCAUCUAUAACAUAUUUUUUAAUUAAUUAUAUUUUUUGUUUUCAAAUAUAUAUUUAAAUUUUUAUUUUAUAAUUUUAAAAAUAAACUAAAAAAUGAAAAUAAAAUAUAAAUAAAUUAAAUACGUUGAGUUCAACCAAAUCUUGUUCAUUUAUGAUUUUUGCAAUUCAUUGACAAAAUAAGAACAUAUAAAAUUCCUUUGCUUAUGAACAUGGGUAAGUAUUCUAAUAAUAAGCACAAAAUACAAAUUUUGUAAUCCCAGGAGCAAGACUUGUUUUAACUAUCCAAGAAAGCAAGAAUUAAUUAGAUGGAAGACUGCCAUGAUUGAGUUCCACUGGGUGCUGAUGCUAAUAAACUUUUGUAACUUUUUCUACAUAUUUUAUCUAGUUACUCAUAGAUUAUAUUAUAUUACCCACGGAAUAAUCUCUAGGUAAAUUACCUUUGAAAUUAUUCCCCCAGAAAGGUACCAAAUUUUUUGAUUGAUUUUUCGACAGAAUGCUUGUCGAUAAUACUCUUUUGAUGUUACCUAUGACCUUUCAUUUUUACUGGUGGAUUUAUCCAUCAAUAAUGCAAAAUUACUAACGUAUCUUAAUCCAUGGGCAAAUAAAUAGACACAUUCUUUUAGUAGUAUUUCCAUUUUACAUUUUUAAUUAGAAGAUGAUAUUUAAUUGUGUUUAUGUGUAAAGACAUAAAGACCAUUAAAUCAUAUAUCUAUUUUUAUACAAAGGGUAAAUCUUAUCUAUUAAUUCCUAACAUUAAUAGUUAAUAUCAAACUUCCUCCGUUCCAAAUUAAAUGUCGCAUUUUAAAAAAUAAAUUAUGCUAAAAUAAAUGUUAUGUUAACUUUUUAAUAUAAUAUUAUUUUUUUAUUUUUUAUUAAUACAUAUAUCUAAUAAAUGUCAUUUUAGUUUUUUUAAUGUAAUAUAAAUACUGAGAUAAAUUUUCUAAAAUUACAAUUCUCUUUCAUAUAUUUAUUAACUUUUCUUAGUAUGUUAAAAAUAACUUAGGAUGAAAUUUAUUUUAGAACCGACAAAUAAACCACUAAAUUAGGUCCUAUAUGGCUUGGGUGCUUGCAAGUUUUUUUGUUUUUAAACUUUUGAAAAAAGCCUAUAAUGGGAUAAUAUUAAUUGAAAUAAUUUUUAAAUGAAUUUGAAACUAUUUUAAUAUUUAUGCACUGUUACAAUGCCCUAGGCAUUUUGUUAAAAUCUCUGAUGUUAGACUUCAGCAAGUCAUAUGCUAUAUGGCUCUUCACCGUAUUCAUAUAUAUAACGAUUUUGAUUUUACUUAAAAAAAAACACUUUUGGAUCCCUUAUUGGUAAAUACUUACAAAUACAACACAAGCUUCAAUAUGUUCUAGAUUCGUUAAACCUAAAAAACUUUUUACUUUUUUAUCUCUCAAAUUUAAAUAUUUUUUAAGUACUUCAAUAAUUCUGAAAAAUUAUUUUUUAAUCUCUGUAUAAAAAUAAAGAAAUAUCCUUGUGACCCCAAAAUUAAUAGAAGUUUUUUUAUGUUAAGGGAAUAGAAAAAUAUUUUUCGAAAUUGUGAAACUAAAAAAUUAAAUUUAAAUUUGAAGAACCAAAUUGGUUAUAUAUAUAUAUAUAUAUAUAUAUAUAUAUAUAUAUAUAUAUAUUUUGAUGGUUGGCAUAAGGGGUACCAACAACCCAUAUACAAAAAUAUAAUUGUUAAAUACCAAAAUGCUUCCCAUUGGUUAUUAGUUCCUAUUUAGAACACCGAGUUCUCAUUAGGACUAGGUGAUCAACGUAAGUUUAUGCUUUUGAUUACAUGUAGGUCUACCUUUUGAGCUUGUUGCUUCUUGUGUGGGUGCUUUCGAACUGUGAAGACAUCUGUGUCCCAUUCUCCGUUUACUCUUUGCAUCUUUUGGUGCUUCUUCAUGUCAUCUGUAGUUUUUUUUUUAUCGCACUACCCCUUUUGAACAAUCCUUCUGGUCAUGUUUCUGAUAAUACAUAGUUUUUUUAUCUCGUUGCAUCCUGGAAAAUAUGAUUUGUCUUUCAUGCUUUUCAUGUUUCUGAUUAGCUAUAUCCUUGUCCUGCUUCGAUGGGGUAGAUCCUGCAUCUGGAAGGGUAACAUACUUCAAACUAAUGCUUCACGUUUUUCUUCAUACUUCUUAAUCAAGUCAUGUCUAAUAAUCACAUACUCAAGGCAAACCAUCAAUAGCUGAAGUCUAGACAACUUAGAAUCUGCUUUUUAAUAGUUUCUUGAUUAAAACUAUAAUUUUAGGAGGAGUUCUUCUUCAACAGUUAGAACUUGAGGUGUCACACCUCAUUAGUCAACUUCAAAUCAAUUUCUAAACUUAGAGCUUUGGUAGAAGUAGUUAAGUCCUGUUGUACUUUUCUAUUUCUAGGUUGAAGAUUGGUGUUCUCCACAGUAAGAAUGAUCACCUUCUUCUUGGCAUCCUCUAAAUCAUUGGUGAUCUUAAACCUUGGCCACUAAAGCUCGACGUUUUUCCUUGUCACUUGCAACAAAAGAAAGAAUUAUGUUGUGUACUUUUGUUACAUGGAUUGGGUUCCAGGCUAUACUUGAGACCUAAUUUAUAACUGGUCACCUGACUCAAAAUUAUUUCUUCUCGACUCAUAUGUAAGCAAAAAAAGUUAUUUUUAUCUUAGACUUAAAUAUAAGUAAAUUUAAUUAAUCUCACUCCUAUUUAAUGAUAUUAUUUUUAACACUCUUCAAUUAAUUACAACUCAAUUUUUAAAGUUUCUAUUUUACUCACGAUAUUAAGUUCUAGUGAAAAACAUUUUAAAAAUAAUCUUAUUUUUUUAUUUGAGAUAAAUAAAAUUAAAUAAUUUAAAUUAACUUUCUUAAUUAAUGUGAAAGUAGUUAAUUUUGCUUAUAAAGAGAGCAUUAGACUAGCCUAAUGGGCCAAGUGUUGGUUGAGGACAGCUCCUCUACCAAGAGUAUCAUUCCUUUACCUUUAAUACACUUGUAAACAGAAAAGUACACCUUGACCAGAGCAAAGUUACUACAUCAAUACAGGAUAAUAUUACCUUGGAAGACCUUGAGCUUCGUGAGGAAAAUGACCCAUAUCUCAAACUCUAAAUACAACCAACAACGAUGUAUUUAAAAUAAAAAAUGAUUUAUGUAUUAUUACUUUAUUAUAUAUCACGGCUCUAGUAAACUUGCUAUUGACUUAAAGUGUUAAAAGUACCUUUUGGAGGUAUUUACCUCCUACUUGUGGCAUCUCAGCCGCAUUAGAGUGUAGUACCAUUGUUCCUACACUUCAGAUCUUUGUCAACAAGGAACCUGUUGGUUAGAGCAAUUACAGAAUUUGGUCAAACUCAAUUAUCCUAUCUCAUGCACCAUAACAACAACAAUAAACAAUAACAAAAUCUUUAUUCUACUAGACGAGAUCAUCAGUUACAUAGAGUGCACACCGAGCUUAUGAAUGUAAGGCAAAAUAUUAAUUAAGGUUCUGUAUAUGACUCAGCUUCAAUUUAUAUAUGUGUCUAUUUAGCAUCUAUUAUUGAAUAAUGGCGCAAGUAGCAACUUUAUUAUAAAAGGUCAUAGUAGUAUCUGCUGGAGGUUGUUGUUCACUGUCAAAUGACUUAUCUCAAUUCAGGACCGGCUUAAGAUUUAAGCAGCCCAAGGAAGGACUUUAAGCCCCAAAAAAAAGUCCUAAAUUUUUUUUAAUACUAAUAUAUCUAAAAAAAUUAUUGUAAAAUUAUAUUUAAAAAUGAAUUUUAAUAAAAAAAAUUUAAUACUAAUAUACCUCAAAAUAUAAAUUUAUUUUAGGUCUCUCAAGUUCUUGAACCACCCUAUCUCAAUUAGCGAAAAUCAUGCGACAGGAACCUACCUAUGAUGCCUCAAAUAUAAGACAAGGACCUAGUUAGUCAUGUUAACUAUAAUAGGGGAAGGAAUUGUUUUAUUCCGAUGGUGGGGUCAAUAUAUGAGAUUCUUAUAUAUAAAAUGCUGAUGAACAGAGUUAUCUUUCUUAUCUUGUAUUACUCAAUUUUCAAUAAAUUCCUUUUGUUUAUUAAAAAAACAAUUUAACUGUUAUUUUAUAAAUUAUAAUGUUAACUGAUCAACUUUCUUUGCCUCAUUGUGUUUGAAACUUCCUAAGUUCGAACAGUAUUCUCUAAACACCCAAAAUUAAGGAAAAGAAACACCUUAUUACUUGGGAGGUUCAUUUAUUGGACAGAGCAUCCCAUGCAUUAUCAUAGCAACAACAACGGUGUUUAACGCUAUUAACCUCCCUAAACAUAUGACCACGUUCCAACAACUCACAUAAUAAUCCCUAAACCAAAUCUAAAAUUUCGGAGUAUAUUAAAAAAAAGUAAUGGCCAAUAGUACACUUAAUUUACUGUUAGUCCCAAGCUAAGUAUUAUAAAUAAUGGGAGUAUGCAUGAGACGUUAACUCAAGCCUUGAGAUAUUUCCCUUUUGAGGUUUGAUUAGUGUGGCCUAGUUAAUUUGUUUUCUCGAUGAGAAUGAGAAAGCAAUCCACUAUGCAAUGCGCACUUUUUCGCUUCUGGGUUCCCUUGUUACUACUUGCCAGCUUCAGUUAUGCUCCUUCUGUUUUGGCCACAACUGAAAUUUCAGGUUUGUAGCUCGUCUAAUACUGACAUACAAAUAAUUUUGUUAGGCUUUUAAAUAUGAUGUUUUCAAUCCUCAACAAAAAAAAUUAUUCAUUUUAAUAAUUACAAUAUUACAAUUAAAAAACAAUAUAGUUUUUGUAAGAUGUUAAAAGUAUAAUAUAUAAUCUUUAUAACUUAAAAUUGAUUAAUUUUGAAUAUGGGUUAAUUUCAAAAUCAGAGAUAAGAACAUAUAUAUAUAUAUAUAUUAUCUUGUUAUCUAAUAUAUAUAAAAGGCUUAAAUAUAAUUUUGAUUCCCCUAUUCUGUUCACUAUGUAAUCUUAGUCUUUUCAUUUUAAAAUAGAGAUAUUUGAUCUUUUUUGUUAAAAUUUUUUAUAAUUUUAGUCCUUAUAUUUCAAAAAAAAAAAUAUUUGGUCCUUCUAUUUUAGAAAUUUCACAAAUAUGAUGUAUUUUUUCUAUUAAAAAUUUGACAAUUUUGGCAAAAUUUUUAAUUUGAUCUACAUUUUAUUUCUUUAUUUCUUAUAUUAUAAUUAAUUAAAUCAUUUUUAUGAUACGUUAAAUGAAUAUGUUAGGUCUAUGACUCAACUGGAUCAAAAUGAAAGAAAUAAAGCAUAGACAAAAUUAAAAAUUUGACUAAAAUUGAAAAUUUUGAAAAAAUAGGAAGAUCAAAUAUUUUUAUUUUGAAAUAGGAAACUAAAAUCAUAAUUUUUUUUAUAAAAAAAUAGGGACCAAAUAUUGUGAAUUAAGCUAAAUAGAAAGAUCAAAAUUUCCUAUUAAAACAAUCAAAUAACUUAGUAGCUCUUUCAAAUGAAAUAAUUCAAAAGAGAUAUGGAGAUCCGGUCCCUUCAUGAUGUUAAUUUCUUCAACUAGUUAUGGCCAUGUUCUUAACUAGCUUAAAAUAUGUGUGAUUUGCUUGUUAAAACAAUCAAAUAAACUUAGUAGCUCUUUCAAAAAUAUUAUUUGUGUUUAAUUAUAUUUUUGAAUUUCUUAUGUAGGGAAUCAAGUGAACAUGGAUGGGAAGGUUGUAAAUGAAGAGUUAGGAAAACCUAAUCUAAAAGGACAAGAUGAAGAAGAAAAAUUCAAAGGACUUUUUCCAAAACCAAUUCCAAUUGUUAAACCUUUUCCAAAGCUCAUUCCUAUAAUUAAACCUAUUCCAAAGCCAAUUCCGGUUGUUAAACCAAUUCCUAUUCCACUUUAUAAGCCUUUUCCAAAAUCAAUUCCUAUUGUUAAGCCUAUUCCAAAGCCAAUCCCAAAUGGUAAGCCAAUUCCAACUGAAGAAGCAAAAUUCAAAGGUUUUUUUCCAAAACCUAUUCCCAUAGUUAAGCCAAUUCCAGUUGCCAAGCCAAUUCCUAUUGUUAAGCCUUUUCCAAAGCUCAUUCCUAUAAUUAAACCUAUUCCAAAGCCAAUUCCGAUUGUUAAACCAAUUCCUAUUCCAGUUUAUAAGCCUAUUCCAAAAUCAAUUCCUAUUGUUAAGCCUAUUCCAAAUGGUAAGCCAAUUCCAACUGAAGAAGCAAAAUUCAAAGGGUUUUUUCUAAAACCUAUUCCCAUAGUUAAGCCAAUUCCAGUUGCCAAGUCAAUUCCUAUUGUUAAGCCUAUCCCUAUCACAGUAUAUAAGCCUAUUACAAAAUCAUUUCCCACUGUUAAGCCUAUACCAAAGCCAAUUCCCAUUUUAAAGCCAAUUCCAAAGCCAAUUUCCAUUGUUAAGCCUAUAUCAAAACCAUUUAUAGUGC